This 58273-nucleotide long non-coding RNA is filed under the name Sorghum bicolor (sorghum). RNAcentral describes it as "long non-coding RNA (SBIC_LNC006718)". The stretch from base 4049 to 4155 matches the Rfam family "Plant small nucleolar RNA R71". Lineage: Eukaryota; Viridiplantae; Streptophyta; Magnoliopsida; Poales; Poaceae. The record is from RNAcentral.
GUUGCAAUAUCUUUAAAAAUUGACGGUACACAUGCUUUUUUUAAAAUAAGAUCUCAUCUCAGAGUUAGAGUAAACUGUCAAGACUUAAAACUUACUUACUUUACCUUCACCAUGGGACUUGUAACUGUCACUUCUGUCUCUUAUUCUUGAUCAGCUAUAGCUCUAGGGUUUUUGUAGAUUUUCAAAUAAAACUCAGAGAUUCCUUGUAUGACUCUCUCAUAUCUCUCUUUUGUGGUAUUUCUGGAUCCUUACCAAGGCAGUGGUGGUAUAUGCCUUCUCUCAAUAUAUGUAGUAUUUGUGGUAUAAAGCAUAGUGACAUUGCCUUCUCUCUCACCCUACUCUAAUAAGGCUUUAAUAUCUGGAGCUCAUAGGUGGGAGAUAAAAUAUACAUACUUACAAGACAUGUAUUGUAUAGUCAAACCAUGGAUCCAAAGAAACAAAUCAAUAAGUCAAAUCACGAUGUGCAUGUGUGGCGAAUGAAUGGUGUAUGGUGAUGACAAUGGUGAAAGUCUAAUUCUACUUUUGCUCUUUGAGGGGAUACAUACCUUCCUUGCUUUUUGAAAUUUUAUGAGGAGAAUGAGAUGCUCUUUAUUUUUUUUCUUUUCUCUAAGGUGGGUAUCUUGUACCCCUAAUUCUACUGUCGGACACUUGUCCAUUUUUACCUCUCGUCUCACUUUUUGUUUUCUUUGAGGUUCCGGGCACUUGCCCCUUUUUAUUUUCUCGUAUCUCUCUUUUUUUUAGAGCACUCAUCUCUUGAGAUAAUAUAGCAAGUGGUAGUAACAAGACAACUUGAGUAUUUAGUUCAUAAGGAAAAACAGAAAAGUUUUUGGCUAUUCUCUCCUGGAUUAGGAGUAGAAUAUUUUUGGGUGAUUCUGGAGAUGGAAAUGGAUCGAUAUAUGUGGAUGGUACUUCCGGAGUAGAAGUAGCAUAUAUGAGUGAACGUGCAAGUGAAAUCUUGAUUUAACCACAUGACAAGCUCCUAAGUGAAAUCUUGAUUUAACCACACUCAAUGCUCAUAAGCAGUAAAUAAUAAAUGUGUGGCUCAAUGUCUAGCAAACAUGUAUAUAUGGCUGUGGUAGGAAUUUAAACUCUCAUCAUACAGGAACUCAUCAUGCAACAUUUUAAAGAUUUUCAAAGAUAAAAUUCUCCAGAAUUAUAGCAUCUCUAGGAACAGAUAAACAGCAGCUCAACCUUCCCAUAUCGUAUCCGUUAACAACUUAGACUUCAGAUCAAGUUUUUAUCCCACAAGUUUAGGUCUAGAGCAAGCCUUAAAUUAUAACAGUUAUGUCUAAACUUGAGAGAGAACUUCAAAUGUGCAAAUUAGGCAGAGCAACUAUUUAUCAUAUCCAUGCUUGAGUUUUAUUAUUAAGAUACAGAUUAGCAUAGCCACUUUAUUUAUUUAUUAAACACACUAAGCAAAAGAUAUAUAUAUAUAUAAGCAUAAAAUCUUUAUUCGGUUUUUCAUAGUUAUGUAUAUCUAUAUUUUAAUAUAGUAUAAGUAUAAAGAUAGAUAGAAAUACUUAUCGGGACAAAUGGGGGUGCUCUCCCCCAAGCUGAAUUUUGACGUAAUUUCUCUUGAUGUAGCUAACAGGUGGUAGAGGUGUAUUUGAAAAUCAGCAGCAUUCUGACAGCGAUUAGAAUGUUCUCCGUCUGCUAGUCUUCUUUAUUCUUAAAUUCUGUGGAGCUCAAAUAGACAACAAAGCUUGUGGAACGGAUUAAGUAUUAGCAUAAAUAUCUAGUCUUUAUCAUGUUGAGACUCCUCAAUAAUUAUUACUCCCUGUUUUUAUAUUUUUAUUUUAUAAAGCAGAAAAGGAAUAUUUAUUUUAUUUUUAUGCCACCACUGUGAAUGUACUUAUGGGUUUUAUGCCACUCGUAUACUCACAUGGGGCUUACUGUUUUUCAUAUUUUUAUUUUAUUUUUAAGAUAGUAUGAACAUAAUUAACUAAGUAAACUAGUUGACAUAAUUGAAAGGGAAAGGAUAACUAGCAAGUUUACCUCUAGGCAAGGCAUUCGGUGUUUUUAAGUCCUUCGAACAGGACUCUCCUCUUUCUCAAUUGUCCUGAGAUUCGUUGGGUGGCGGAGUCGGUACUUCCGGCAGCGCCUCCUCUUCAUGUAUAGUUAUCUUCUCUUUCCAUACCUGACUCGGUGCUACGGUCUCCUCUGGAUAAUUUUGUUUAAACUCUACGUCUUCUGACCUUACAACUUCUCCUUCGUAGUCUGCCCCUCCGUCCUUGAUGAUUUGCCUCCUCUGGUUGCGGUUUCGUUGUUUUUUGACCUGCUUAGAUUCUUCAACGAUAUAGUUAGGGUCAGAAAAAUAAUGGCGUACCUUCUCUGAGGGAAGUGCAUAUGGACUUCUCCAGUUCCAAUGUAGAUGAUUGUUUUUACGGUGCUGAGGAACGGUCUUCCAAGGAUGAUGGGUGGAUCGUAUUCGUCUUCUCCCAUGUCAAUAACUUGAAAGUCUGUGUAGACAAAAUGAUCGUCUAUUUUGACUGGGACAUCAGUUACUAUUCCUUUAACUUCUCGAAACGUCUGAUCUGCCAUCUGGAGCUGAAUGUAUGUUGGUUUCAAGGGCAUGGUUCCGAACAAGAGCCGAUAGGUGACUGCGGCCAUUAUAUUGACGCCCGAUCCGGUGUCGCAAGUCAUCUUGUAGAAGUUGUAUCCAUUUAUGGAGCAGUAGAUGCUUGGCAUUCCUGGGUCGUCCUUCUUGGUCAAAAACGGUGACUUAAGUUGAUGAUCUUGGCCUCCAUGAACUACAGUGACCAUCUUAGCUAACUCGGUCCAUACUUGCUUGUUCCUGUUCCUCCUGUUGGUCCUCUUCCUUGAUUCACGUCUGGAUUGAUUUGGAAUUUGUGUAGUCUUGUUCUUGAAGAAAAAUGUCUCCUUCCUCCCUUUGAUAUAGAAACUGAUUUUGGCAGCACUGGCGUAGAUGAUAGCUCCCGUGGUGUUCAAGAAUGGCCUCCCUAAGAUGAUGGGUGCUCUUUCAUCGUUUUCGGUCUCUACCACUAUGAAGUCUGCUGGGGCAUACAAGGCAUACCAACUCGGAUGCAAAGGUUCUUCACUAUUCCUUUUGGAAAAGUUAUCGCCUGAUCUGCAAACUGCAAACACAUGGUUGUCUCUAAUAAAGGAUAUGUAAAGAAUUUUUCAUAGAUUACCCUGGGUAUAAUGUUGACGCUAGAGCCAAAGUCGCAGAGUGCUUCUGGGACGUCCACCAUGCCGAUGGAGAUCGGGAUGACUGGGCGUCCUGGUUCACCUCUCUUGACCGGCAGAAGGUCAGUAGAGAAUUCAGUGACGGGGUUACUCCAAUUACCUGCAACAAACAUGUCUACAAGAUUUGCAGAUUCUAAUCCUUCCGGUUGUGAUGGUAUACCGGGGUUAGUAGUAGGAACAGCAGCAGCUAUUUGAUUUAACCAAGAUUCAAUCAUUUUAUUAAAGCUAAUUUGAUUCUUGAUGGCAGUAGAGAAAUUAUCCAUUCUAUUAUUUAUAUUUUCUAGCAUUUUAUCAUUAGAUGCAAAUUUCUUAGAUAAUUUAUCCAUUAGCUUUCCUUGAUUAGACACUAACUCUCUCAAAGGUGGAAAAAUAUUAUUAUUGUUGUAAGAAUUGUUACCUUGAUAAUUACCAACCUUGAUUUUGUUGAGGACGGUUGUAGUAGAUGUUGUUGUUGUUGUUGAUGUAGUUCACAUCCUCAAGUAUCUCAGGGCAGUGAUUGCCUGAGUGUCCAGUGUCUCCACACUCCUCACAAGUCAUGUGAGAGUCGUAGAUGUGCAUAACUUCUUUCUUGUCUCCAACUCUCUCAUCGAGCUUCUUCAUGAGCAGGUCUAGCUUUGCAGACAACAUGUCUACCUCCUUGAGCUGAUGCAUACCUCCACCUCUCUUGCGUGUCUGGGUCCUCUCUUCAUUCCAGCUUUGGUUGGAUGCCAUCUUUUCCAUAAUAGCUGUGGCUUGUGAUAUAGUAAGUGAUAAGAAUGCUCCUCCAGCUGCAGCAUCCAUGGUCUCUCGGGCACUAUUGCCGAGUCCAUGAUAAAACGUCUGCAUUAGUAGCCAACUCUCCAUUCCAUGAUGGGGACAUUCUAGGAUGUAGUCUUGGAAGCGCUCCCAUGCUUCUGGAACAGAUUCAUCAUUUUGUUGCUGAAAACUUGCAAUCUUCCCACGGAGAGCAUUGGUCUUGCCCAUGGCAAAGAAUUUUGCCAGGAAGUUUGUUGAGCAGAGUGCCCACGUUGUAUUCUUCUCCUUUGUAGCAUAGAACCACUGUUUCGCUCUCCCUAAUAGUGAGAAUGGGAAGAGGCGAAGUAGUAUAGCAUCUUUGGAAACUCCUGAUAUGGUGAAUGUGUUGCAUAUCUCCAGGAAGUGUUGUAAAUGAGCACUAGCAUCUUCAUGUGCCUUCCCAGAGAACUGGUUGGAUUGCACCAUGUUGAUAAGUCCAGGCUUGAGCUCAAAGUUGCCGUCGAUCUCUACAGCAGGUCCAGUGCGGAUGUUGUCCGUAGUGGGAGCUGAGAACUCGCGGAUUGAUUUGUUCGCCAUGGCUUCGAACUCUGAAGACAAGUUCCGGUGAUCUUCUUGAUUGGAUGAAGCUUCUUGCUGAAGUGUUGAUGAUCUCUUCUUGAGCUUGGCUCUCGUCAUCUUGAAUAAUGCUUCGGGAUUGUCAACAAAAUUUCCUAGAACAUGUCUUCUAUUCAUACAUUCCCCUGCAUAAGGUAAAAUAGGAAAAUAUCGGGGUAAAACUGUAUGAGAGAAUAGAUAAGCUCAAUCAUAUUAGUGAUGCAAAUGAUAACUCAAAAUCCUUUAUUCCAUUCCAACAAGGCGCUACAUGGCGUCCGACCCUCGACCAGACGUGUUUCCUUCCUAGGGGAGGGUUGGGCGUCGAAUGACGGCACUGCCACCACUCUGACGUAUCAGCCGCCAUGACAUACAAGCGUGCAACGGACAAACCAGCCCAAGACGGCGUACAGAGCGGGAUAUGAGGGCACGCGUAAUCAUCAUCAAGCUACCAGGACGGGACGGCUCGAGACCACGCCGGUACGGUGGCCUCGAGUAGGUCAGCGCGCCAUGCCUCUAUCGACCCCUACUCUGUCACCUAUACAUGUACCCUAUGUCUCUCCUUGGAGCUAUAAAAGGGGAGACCCGAGAAUGAACACGGGAGACAACAAAAAAAACACCACACUCACACGUAGAGGAGUCUACAUACUCCAUCUCAGUUCAUACACACUUGUAUUCGCCCCUAUACAAGCACUUAGGUGCAAGAUAAUACAAACUCCCCUCCCCCGCUGGACGUAGGGCCUUCUCUUGCCCGAACCAGGAUAAAUCUUUGUGUCUUCUUGCAUCACUAUCUGGGAAAGGGAAACACGCAUACAAAUUCACUCGUUGGUGUGACCCCCCGUGGGGAAAACACCGACACGUCUGAUGCAACUAUCUGAGCUAGAAGAAUGGAGAGAGAAAGCCUACCACAAUUCAAGGAUCUAUAAAGAGAGAACAAAACGAUGGCAUGAUAAUAGAAUCAAGCACAAGGAGUUUAAGCCUGGAGAUAAGGUUCUACUUUUCAAUUCAAGAGUUAAGCUCUUUGGGCAUGGUAAGCUACGAAGUAAGUGGGAUGGACCAUACAAGGUUAUUGACACUCCAACUCAUGGAGCCAUUACCAUCCAAGACGACAUAGGUAAGACUUUUAAGGUAAAUGGUCAAUGCUUGAAAAUCUAUCUCGAGCCACAAAACAACCUAGUAGAGGACCUUGAUGUGAUUGAGUUCAUAGAACUCUCACAUUAAGCUCUGAUAAGCUCUAGACAAUUACCUAACCCUUAACAUGCUCCACAAGUUUUGUUGUCUAUUUGGGUUGUGCAGGAUUUUGAGGCUUAAGAUGAGUGAGACCGAACAAGCAGGCCACAAGAGUGAACGACUAUGUGAACAUCCAGCUUGGGGGAGGCAUCCCCAUGUGUAUCUAGAUAAGUAUUAGUUUUAUUUCUUGGUUUUAUUUUCUAGUAUUCGAAAAUAAAUAAAAAGAAUGCAUAACCAUGAAACCAAACAAAGUUUUUCUUUUGAGUAAUAUACAAUAGUUUUGUGUAAUCCUAAGUUUUAAAUAAAAUAAAAAGAAAGUUUGAUUCAAGUCUAGGUAAUUGACAAACAUGAUAUGAGCUACUAUUUAACUUGUUCCAAGUAUUCCUAGAGUUCUGGAGAUUUUAUCUUUUGAAAUCUAAAAAUCCAAAGAAAAAAAAUGAUGAUGAGAUCCUGUUUGACAUAAUACCUAGAUUCUUAUAAGAUAUAAAUAUUAAAGCUGUAGGCGCUUGCUUUGUUCAAGCCAUUGUUAAUUCUUGUAGUUUUGGUUGAGAGAAUUAUCAUGCUCCAAAGAUCAAGGUCCUUUUGUUUUAAAAAUAUAAAAGAUUCACUCUUCCGAAGUAUUAUUGCGUUAGAGGCAUGGGACUAUGCAAAAAUUUGAUUCAAAAGUGUCUGACAGUAGAAUUAGUGGUACUUGGUGCCCACUUGAAAAAAAAAUAUAUAAAAAAAAGAAAAAAGAGAGAGACUAAAAAAGAAAGAAAAAAAAUGAUAGCCCAUGGUCCCUCUAAUAAGCAAUAUGCCAGUAAGAGAUGACAAACUUUUCAAAAAGGUCAAAGGUCUUGAUCUAGGAGGAUGACAUUCCUCUCCCUUGCUCCGAGCAUUGAUAUAGCAAAAUGCAAAGUAAGUAUGCUAAAACUUUUAAAGCUCUAUUUAUAUAUCUUUCGAGAAGAAGUCAAAUGCCUUAGUUUUAUUUUGGAAACUUACAAAAAAAACUCCAGAACAAAGGUAAGACAAAAGAACUUGAGACAUAGUGCUUGACUUGAUCGUUCUAUUUUUCAAUCACUUAAGACCUUAGUGAUAACUUAAAAACCCUGUAGUAAGAGGCAUAAAGGUAACCCCUGUUUUCUUGCUGAUUUUAGCUUUGCUCAGGGACGAGCAAAGGUUAAGCUUGGGGGAGCUUGUUGACGGUCCUUAAUGCUCAAAUUUAACGAUCAACUAAUCAAGGAAAAAGACCUAUAUGCAACCAACAUCCAAAAUUAGGGUUUCAUCUGACAAAAUUCCACAAAUUUUGGUGUUUGUCUAUUUGUGCAGGGGGUUAUCCGGAAAUAUGCAAGAAAGGCCCACAUGUUGGGAUUACAUAGAGAUAUUAACGGGCCAUGCAAUUUUGUACCAUCUAGAAGACUCCAGAAGCCACGGGAACGAACGGGAAGGCAAUCGGACUCGGAGGCAGGGCGCCCGCCCUACUCUCCUGGGCGCCCACCCUCCUAUAGUGUCCAAUUUGGACCCGUUUCGCGGAUCACGCUCCCCUGACCUAAAGGAUCAAGGAUAACCGUUCAAUCAAUGUCGGUUUGAUCCGACGACCCAGAUUCAUCUGAAAAGACUAUAUAAGCAAGGCCCCCUGACCCCUGGAGAGCAUACCUCUUCUACAGAAUCAAAGUUAGGGUUUCAAUUCUUCAUCCAAGUAGAGAGGAUCCCUCUACUUCAUCUAGUUCUAGCUCUAGUUCAUCUAGUUCUAGUUCUUCUAGUUCUAGUUCUAGUUAGUUCUAGUUGUAAUCUAGAAAAUAGGGAGAGAGAAGAGGAGAGCAAAGGAGGAGGAGCCGGAUCUGUCGGAUCUUCCUCAACAUUGUACUUUUGCAGCAACUGGUUUGUUCUUCAUCGUUCUCCAGGUUCUUCAAUUCAUAAUUCCUGAGUUCUUUAAUUACUUUUAUUUACAUUCAAGUUAUUUACUGUAUUCCGCUUGCAUCAAGUGCUCUAAUCUUUGCAACAUUAGAGUAGUAAUUAAUAGAUUAGACGUGGUGUUUAGUCUUGCAAUUACAUGGAAUUGCACCCAAUCCUGCGGAUUGUUGCGGUAGCCCUAGGAUAGUGACAGCCCUAACAGUCGACGUAUUCCACCUCGUUCGGAUCGGUGUUUGUAGGACCAUAGUCAGAGCUUCCUAGCCCCCUUCUCAUCUCUUUCUGUGGUUAGUGUUCUGAUGUCCCGAAAUAGAUAAUCUUUGAAGUAAUUCUUGAUUCAUAGAUCAACUAGAGAACUCUCAGGAAACUUCCUCUCUUCCCACCAAAAAUAAUUAUAUAGUUAUCCUUGGGCGAUCUUGAAUCUUAAUUAGUACACUCACGUUCCCUGUGGAAAAUCGAUACUCUGGAAUACUCCCGGGUGAAAGCUACAUCGGUAUCCGUGCGCUUGCGGAUUUUUCUGUUUGUGUUUAAAAUACCCAGCAUUCCUGUAAUUUUAGUGCCUAUGAAUGAUGGCUCUUGGAGGAUGUGUGUUGACUGUAGAGCUAAAAAUAAUAUCACUUUUCGCUAUUGUCAUCCUAUGCCACAUUUAGAUGAUAUGCUUGAUGAAUUGAGUGGUUCCACCAUAUUCACUAAAAUUGAUUUGAGAAGUGGAUACCAUUAGAUAAGAAUGAAAACAGGGGAUGAACGGAAAACUGCAUUUAAAACAAAAUUUGGGUUGUAUGAAUGGUUAGUUAUGCCUUUCGGUUUGACUAAUGCUCCUAGUACUUUCAUGAUAUUAAUGAACCAUGUCUUGAGAGAUUUCAUUGGAAAAUUUGUUGUUGUCUACUUCGAUGAUAUCUUAAUUUAUAGCAAGUCUUUUGAGGAACAUGUGAAUCAUAUUCGGCAAGUCUUGGAAGAGCUUAGAAAGAAGAAAUUAUUUGCUAAUCUUGAGAAAUACAGUUUUUGCACAGACCAUGAUGUGUUUCUUGGCUUUGUUGUUUCAGGAAAGGGCAUAUAAGUGGAUGAAAGCAAGGUGAAAGCCAUCAAGGAUUGGCCAACUCCCACAAAUGUAAGUCAAGUAAGAAGUUUUCAUGGCCUUGCUGGUUUUUAUAGGAGGUUUGUGAGAGAUUUCAGUACCAUCGCUGCUCCUUUGAAUGAAUUGACAAAGAAAGGUGUUGACUUUAAACGGGGAAAAUCACGACAAAAUGCACUUCAAGAAUUAAAGAAACGUUUAACUGAAGCACCAUUACCUGUUCUUCAUAAUUUCACUAAAACUUUUGAAGUUGAAUGGGAUGCUAAACAAAUUUGCAUAGGAGUUUUUAUGCAACAAGGAAAACCUGUAUCUUAUUUUAGUGAAAAACUAGGAGGUGCUCAACUGAAUUAUUUUGUGUAUGAUAAAGAAUUAUAUGCUUUGUUACGUGUGCUUGAAACAUGGCAGCACUACUUAUGGUCGAAAGAAUUUGUUAUUCACUCUGAUCAUGAAGCUUUGAAAUACUUGAAAGGACAAGCAAAACUGAAACGUUGUCAUGCCAAAUGGGUUGAGUUCAUCGAAAUGUUUUCAUACAUUGUGAAAUAUAAGAAAGUGAAUCGCACAUUGUCAAUGUUGCUGCGAACAAUGGUGAAAAAGAGACUGAAGGUUUGGGAGGAAUGCUUGCCACAUGUGGAGUUUGCAUAUAACAGGGCAGUACACGCUACCACUAAUAUGUGUACUUUUGAAAUUGUAUAUGGGUUCAAACCUAUUGCUCCGAUAGAUUUGUUGCCCCUUCCACUGUAGGAAAUAACCAAUAUGGAAGCCUCCAAGCGUGCUGCAUACAUCAAGAAGGUACACGAGAAGACCAAGGAAGCAAUUGAACUCAAGGCUGCAAGUAUGAACAAACAUAGGAAGAAGGUGUUAUUUGAACCAGGGGACUUGGUGUCGAUACACUUGCGCAAGGAUCGCUUUCCUCAGCAGCGCAAAUCAAAAUUGCUGCCACGAGGAGAUGGUCCAUUUCAUGUUCUUAAGAAGAUCAAUGACAAUGCAUACAAGAUUGAUCUUCCUGCAAGUUAUGGCAUGUGCAACUCCUUCAAUGUUGAUUAUCUCUCACCAUUCACAAGUGAAAACACUUUAGAGUCGAGGACGACUCCUUUUCAAGGCGGGGAGGAUGAUAUGACCACGUCACCAAGAAAGAUGUCACAAGCUCUAAGUCAAGCUACACCCACUCAAGUUUCACCUACACCGACACCAGCCCAUGUCAUCAAUCGACCGAUUACACGUAGUCGUGCAAAGAAGCUACAAAAAGAGGUACACGCGCUACUUUGUGAGAUUCAUUUUAACAUUAAUAAGAAUUAUAUACUACCUAUGUGUUGUACCUUGAUUGUACUCAGUUAUAUAGAAGAAGAGAAGGAUGAAUCGGACCCUAAAGAAUGGACCAGUGCAAGUUCCAGAAGAAGUCAAAAACGGACCCAUGAAAGUCAAAAAUGGACCAGUACAAGAAAUCUUCAUAAGUUUUUACUCACAAAAGCUAUGAAGGUCCAUGAGCACUUGUUGGAAAUCUUGACGAGUCUACUUUCCAAUGAAUCUAGUGGUGACCAGUUUGGAUACUCCAUAUUGCCUGCAGACCAGAAUUAGUACAGACUGCUCAGAAGGUCAACAGUCUGUCGUGACAGAAUGUUGGUAUAACUUAACAAGUAAAACUGUACCAAUCUACAAUAUUUCAUGCUGGUUGGUAUAUGUUACUGGAAAGCCCUUUGAGUCUAGUUUCACACCCAAGAAACAGUUCAUCAUUUGGACUUCCCAAUAAAAAGUUAUGGUCAGUUUAUUGGAAACUGCUCUGGAGGCCAACAGUCACGCGAAGCCACUUCGGGAAUCUAUUUCGAGGGGACCUUUCACAUUGCCUUCCCUCAGAAACUCUAUUUCGUUUUCAUACCUAUCUAGAAGGGCUGUUGCUAGUAUAAAUACCACCUAAGACUCAUUGUAAUCUAAGACUUUGAUAAUUGAAAUACAGAACCGCUUUGUUCAGCUGCGUGCUAACAAAUCCAGAGAGUGAUCUAUACCCCUUUGCUCUUGUGAUUUCCUCGCGGGAUUACAUAGGCGGUGGCUUCAUCCGCUCCCAAUUGAUGCUCCUACUCCCUUCAAGGUAUUCCUUGAUUGAUUGUAUGCUGUGUUGGUUGGUUCCUUGAGAGUGUGGUUGGGCGAAUCCUCGAUUCAGGUUGCCGGUUAAAGACGGUGGUUGGCUUCGAGUUUUAUUUGCCAGGUUCCACUAGUUAUCGCUGCUUGCAGCAAGUUAUCCGGCUGUUCUUCAGCUAGUUAUCAGUGUUUAUCCUACGUCGUGAAGAUCGGGACAACGUGUCACAUCACCUAGCCCAAACACCACGUUUACGCUAGAGAUGAUUACUCUAAACUCUACGCAAAGAGAUUAAAGUAAACUCAUAAACCAAAGAACAAUAAAACAAUAACUUACUAGUAUUUAGAAGUCGAAAUACUGAAGAAUCCUAGGAGCAAGAUUCGGGUUAGGAGAACUUGAUCCCGCAGGUACAACCUCAAAGUAGACACUGACAGGCCGGGCUUCCUCCGAUCUACACCUCCACUCUAUCUCUCUUAAUCUAGUAGAUCCAGUCUACUCUCACAUUGGAUGCUAAGCCCUAAGUCUAUGUAGAGGAAAGGUUAUCCUUCGAGGGCACUGUUGACGGUCCUUAAUUAUCAAAUUUAAUUAUCAAAUAAACAAAAAAAAGGAUCCAAAUGAAAUCAACAUCUAGACUUAGGGUUUUAUCUGACAGAAUUCCACGAGUUCUGGUGUUUGUCUAUUCCUGCAGGGGGUUAUCAGAGAAUACGGAACAAAGGCCCACACGUCGGGAUUACAUAGAGAUAUUAACAUGCCGCGCAAUUAUCUUACAUCUAGAAGACUCCAGAAACCACGAGACCGAAGCGGAGCCGAAACGGGGCCAGAGGCACGGCGCCCGCCCCCUCUGAGAGUCCAAUCAGGACUCUGCUUCGUGGGAGAUCUCCACCGACCUAAAGGAUCAAGGAUAACCGUUCAAUCUAAGUCGGUUUGAUCCAACGGCCCAUAUUCACUUGAAGGGACUAUAAAACCAGACCCCCUGGCCCCUGGAGGAGAGAGCCUCUCAACCCUAAUUCAUUAUUCUUCAAGGGAGAAGAAGCCUCUGAUCAAGAUUAGAGCCACCACAUCAAUUAGAUAUGUAGAUUAGCAUAGCUACAUAGGAUUAGAACUAGAAGGAGUCAAUCUUCGAUUGGUUUCCGGAUCUGUCAAGAGGAUUCUUGGUAAUUCUCUAAUUGUGCUUCUAAUUGUUCUUCUAAUUAUCUUUGUUCUUCAAUAUUAUGAAUAUGACUUUGUUCUACUUCAAUAUAUUGCUUAUGACUUUGCUCUACUUGCUUAUAUUCAAGAUUAUAUUGUUCUUAGUUUAUCAUGGUUAUAUACUUGGCUUAGUUAAAUUGGAUCUAUAUAUAUGCUUAGGAUCGUAUAGCGUUUAUCCAUCGGAUCCAUGGGUAAAUGAUAGAUAUUGUGUAGGCGUGGUGCUUAUACCGUAUUUAUCUGCGAUUGCACCCAAUAUGCCAGAUCGUGGGGUAGUUCGUGAUAGUGACAGCUUCAUUGAUUCUUAUAUAGUCCCCCUCUCGUGUAUUGGGCUGGCAGAGCAAUAUUAUUACAGGGGAGUGAUUUCUAUGUUUCUCAUUUACCUUGCUAAUAUCACAAUGCAUGGGCGUAGUCUUGUCUCGCAAUGAUUGCUAAGUAUGCUUGCACUAACUAUGAUAAUGCUAAACUAUAUAGUUGAGAAUAACUUAGGGAAUAUUCUUGUAGUUCGUUCUAAUACCAUGCUAAUGACUUUCUAGAGUAUCUAAUUGAGGUGCUUAUCACAUUUAUAUGUGGCUGAUCAGAUUAAUUAUCUUUGUCACUAUUUAUUAUUUCAUAUAUCUUUUAUGUGACAUUUAUCCCUGUAUGAAGAGUUAGAUAAAUGUUCUCAAUUAUACAUGCAAUGAUAGAUACUCAAUCUUAUAUUCUAUUCUGUAAUCAAUAUUGAUGAUUGUUAAUCCCUUCCCAGUGGUAAAAAUAUAAAUAACGAUACCUAGAAUAUUGUCCGGUUAAAAUGCUGCAUCGGUAUUAAUCUGUGCGCUUGCAGAUCCCAUUCAUUAUUUAUUUAGAAGAGCAAUUGCAUAUUUCAAUACCGCGUCUCUCAUGUCAUGCUGGGGAUGACAACUUGGCUUAAGUGGUGUGAGGGAUAGGUUUGGCAUUUUUGGCACCGUUACUAGAUUUAGAGAACUUAGUCUACUUUUGGUAAUGAUGUUAAGAAUACCCAACAAGCAUUUUUGGCGCCGUUGUCGGGGAAGGUUGAUUACUAAUCAGGAAUGGAAUAAAGGAUUUUGAGUUAUCAUUCGCAUUACUAAUAUGAUUGAGCUUAUCUAUUCUCUCAUACAGUUUUACCCCGAUAUUUUUCUGUUUUAUCUUAUGCAGGGGAAUGUAUGAAUAGAAGACAUCUUCCGGGAAAUUUUGUUGACAAUCCCGAACCAUUAUUCAAUAAGACGAGAACCAAGCUCAAGAAGAGAUCAUCAACACUUCAGCAAGAAGCUUCAUCCAAUCAAGAAGAUCACCGGAACUUUUCUUCAGAGUUCGAAGCCAUGGCGAACAAAUCAAUCCGCGAGUUCUCAGCUCCCACUACGGACAACAUCCGCACUGGACCUGCUGCAGAGAUCGAUGGCAAGUUUGAGCUCAAGCCUGGACUUAUCAACAUGGUGCAAUACAACCAGUUCUGUGGGAAGGCACACGAAGAUGCUAGUGCUCAUCUACAACACUUCCUGGAGAUUUGCAACACAUUUACCAUAUCAGGAGUUUCCAAAGAUGCUAUACUACUUCGCCUCUUCCCAUUCUCACUGUUAGGAAGAGCGAAGUAGUGGUUUUACGCUACAAAGGAGAAGAAUACUACGUGGGCACUCUGCUCAACAAACUUCCUGGCAAAAUUCUUUCCCAUGGGCAAGACCAAUGCUCUCCGUGGGAAGAUUACAAGUUUUAAGCAACAAAAUGAUGAAUCUGUUCCAGAAGCAUGGGAGCGCUUCCAAGACUAUAUCCUAGAAUGUCCCCAUUAUGGAAUGGAGAGUUGGCUAUUGAUGCAGACGUUUUAUCAUGGACUCGGCAACAGUGCCCAAGAGACCAUGGAUGCUGCAGCUGGAGGAGCAUUCUUAUCACUUACUAUACCACAAGCCACAACUCUUGUGGAGAAGAUGGCGUCCAAUAAAAGCUGGAAUGAAGAAAGGACCCAGACACGCAAGAGAGGUGGAGGUAUGCAUCAGCUCAAGGAGGUAGACAUGCUCUCUGCAAAGCUAGACCUGCUCAUGAAGAAGCUCGACGAUAGAGCUGGAGACAAGAAAGAAGUUAUGCACAUCUACGACUCUCACAUGACUUGUGAGGAGUGUGGAGAUACUGGACACUCAGGCAAUCACUGCCCUGAGAUGCUUGAGGACGUGAACUACAUCAACAACAACAACUACUACUACAACCGUCAUCAACAAAAUUAAGGUUGGAAUCAACAGAGGCCUAACUACUCAGGUAAUUAUCAAGGUAACAAUUCUUCCAACAAUAAUAAUAAUUUUCCACCUUUAAGAGAGUUAGUGUCUAGUUAAGGAAAGCUAAUGGACAAUCUAUCUAAGAAAUUGGCAUCUAAUGAUAAAAUGCUAGAAAAUAUAAAUAAUAGAAUGGAUAAUUUCUCUACUGCCAUCAAGAAUCAAAUUAGCUUUAAUAAAAUGAUUGAAUCUCAGUUAAAUCAAAUAGCUACUGCUGUUCCUACUACUAACCCCGGUAUACCAUCAGAACCGAAAGGAUUAGAAUCUGCACAUCUUGUAGACAUGUUUGAUGCAGGUAAUUGGAGUAACCCCAUCACUGAAUUCACUACUAACCUUCUGCUGGUCAAGAGAGGAGAUCCAGGACACCCCGUCAUCCCGAUCUCCAUCGGCAUGGUGGACGUUCCAGAAGCACUCUGCGACUUUGGCUCUAGCGUCAACAUUAUACCCAGGGUACUCUAUGAGAAAUUCUUUACAUAUCCUUUACUAGAGACAACCAUGUGUUUGCAGUUUGCAGAUCAGACGAUAACUUUUCCAAAAGGAAUAGUGAAGAACCUUUGCGUCCGAGUUGGUACCUUGUAUGCCCCAGCUGACUUUGUAGUGGUAGAGACUGGAAAUGAUGAGAGGGCACCUAUCAUCCUAGGGAGGCCAUUAUUGAACACCACGUGAGCUAUCAACUACGCUAGUGCUGCCAAGAUCAGUUUCUACAUCAAAGGGAGGAAGGAGACAUUUUUCUUCAAGAACAAGACUACACAAAUUCCAGAUCAAUCCAGACGUGGCUCAAGGAAGAGGACCAACAAGAGGAACAGGAACAAGCAAGUGUGGACCGAGUCAGCUAAGAUGGUCACUUCAGUUCAUGGAGGCCAAGAUCAUCAACUUAAGUCACCGUUUUUGACCAAGAAGGACGACCUAGGAAUGCCAAGCAUCUAUUGCUCCAUAAAUGGAUAGAACUUCUACAAGACAACUUGUGACACCGGAUCGGGCGUUGACAUAAUGGCCACAGUCACCUAUCGGCUCUUGUUCGGAACCAUGCCCUUAAAACCAACAUACAUUCAGCUCCAGAGGGCAGAUCAUACAUUUUGAGAAGUUAAAGGAACAGUAACUGAUGUCCCUGUCAAGAUAGACGAUCAUUUUGUCUACACAAACUUUCAGGUUAUUGACAUGGGAGAAGAUGAAUACGAUCCACCCGUCAUCCUUGGAAGACCGUUCCUCACCACCGUUAAAGCAGUCAUCUACAUUGGAACCGGAGAAGUCCAUAUGCACUUCCCCUCAGAGAAGGUACGCCGUUAUUUUACUGACCCUGACUAUAUCGUUGAAGAAUCUAAGCAGGUAAGAAAGAGAUGCAACUGCAACCAGAGGAGGCAAAUCAUCAAGGACGGAUGGGCAGACUAUGAAGGAGAAGUUGUAAGGUCAGAAGACGUAGAGUUUGAACAGAAUUAUCCAGAGGAGACCAAAGCACCGAGUCAGGUGUGGAGAGAGAAGAUAACUAUACAUGAAGAGGAGGCGCCGCCGGAAGUACCGACUCCGCCACCCAACGAAUCCCAGGACAAUUGAGAAAGAUGGGAGUCCCGUUCGGAGGACUUAAAAACACCGAUCGCCUUGCCAAGACGUAAACUUGGUAGUUAUCCUUUCCCUUUUAAUUAUUUCAAUUAUUUUACUUAGUUAAUCAUAUUCAUACUAUCUUAAAAAUAAAAUAAAAAUAUGAAAAACAGUAAGCCCCAUGUGAGUAUACGAGUGGCAUAAAACCCAUAAGUACAUUCACUGUGGUGGCAUAAAAAUAAAAUAAAUAUUUCUUUUCUGCUCUAUAAAAUGAAAAUAUAAAAAUAGGGAGUAAUAAUUGUUAAGGAGUCUCAACAUGAUAAAGGCUAGAUAUUUAUGCUAACACUUAAUCAGUUCCACAAGCUUUGUUGUCUAUUUGAGCUCCACAGAAUUUAAGAAUAAAGAAGACUAGCAGACGGAGGACAUUCUAAUCGCUGUCAGAAUGCUGCUGACUUUCAAAUACACCUCUACCACCUGCUAGCUACAUCAAGAGAAAUUACGUCAAAAUUCAGCUUGGGGAGAGCACCCCCAUUUAUCCCGAUAAGUAUUUCUAUCUAUCUUUAUACUUAUACUAUAUUAAAAUAUAGAUAUACAUAACUAUGAAAAACCGAAUAAAGAUUUUAUGCUUAUAUAUAUAUAUCUUUUGCUUAGUGUGUUUAAUAAAUAAAUAAAGUGGCUAUGCUAAUCUGUAUCUAAAUAAAACUCUAGCAUGGAUAUGAUGAAUAGUUGCUCUGCCUAAUUUGCACAUUUGAAGUUCUCUCUCAAGUUUAGACAUAACUGAUAUAAUUUAAAGGUUGCUCUAGACCUAAACUUGUGGGAUGAAAACUUGAUCUGAAGUCAAAGUUGUUAACGGAUACGAUAUGGGAAGGUUGAGCUGCUGUUUAUCUGUUCCUAGAGAUGCUAGAAUUCUAGAGAAUUUUAUCUUUGAAAAUCUUUAAAAUAUUGCAUGAUGAGUUCCUGUAUGAUGAGAGUUUUAAAAUUCCUACCACAGUCAUAUAUACAUUCUUGCUAGACUUUGAGCCACACAUUUACUAUUUACUGCUUAUGAGCAUUGAGUGUGGUCAAGCUAUGUAGACCCUUAGGAGCUUGUCAUGUGGUUAAAUCAAGAUUCACUUGCACGUUCGCUCAUAUAUGCUACUUCUACUCCGAAAGUACCAUCCACAUAUAUCCAUCCAUUUCCAUCUCCAGAAUCACCCAAAAAUAUUCUACUCCUAAUCCGGGAGAGAAUAGCCAAAAACAUUUCUGUUUUCCCUUGUGAAAUAAAUGCUCAAGUUAUCUUGUUACUACCACUUGCUAUAUUAUCUCAAGAGAUGAGUGCUCUAAAAAAAGAAAGAAAUACAAGGAAAUAAAAAGGGGCAAGUGCCCGGAACCUCGAAAGAAAAGAAAAAGUGAGACGAGAUGUAAAAAUGGACAAGUGUCCGAUAGUAGAAUUAGAGGUACAAGAUACCCACCUGAGACAAAAGAAAAAAAUAAGAGCAUCUCAUUCUCCUCAUAAAGUUUCAAAAAGCAUGGAAGGUAUGUAUCCCCUCAAAGAGCAAAAGUAGAAUUAGACUUCCACCAUUGUUAUCACCAUCAUCACCAUACACCAUUCAUUCACCACACAUGCACAUCUUGAUUUGACUUAUUGAUUUGUUUCUUUGGAUCCAUGGUUUGACUAUACAAUACAUGUCUUGUAAGUAUGUAUAUUUUAUCUCCUACCUAUGAGCUCCAGAUAUUAAAGCCUUAUUAGAGUAGGGUGAGAGAGAAGGCAAUGUCACUAUGCUUUAUACCACAAAUACCACAUAUUUUGAGAGAAGGCAUAUACCAUCACUGGCUUGGUAAGGAUCCAGAAAUACCACAUAAGAGAGAUAUGAGAGAGUCAUACAAAGGAAUCUCUGAGUUUUAUUUGAAAAUCUGCAAAAACUCCAGAGCUAUAGCUGAUCAAGAAUAAGAGACAUGGCACUUGACUGGACUGUUCUAUCUUUUAACCAUUCAAGACAGGAGUGACGGUUACAAGUCCCAUGAUGAAAGGUAAAGUAAGUAAGUUUUAAGUCUUGACAGUUUACUUUAACUCAAAGAUGAGACCUCAUUUGAAAGCAUGUGUACCGUCAAUUUUUAAAGAUAUUGCAACAACUUAUGAUCCAUAGCUGAGUCUAUCCUUGCUCAGGGACAAGCAAGAGGUAAGCUUGGGGGAGUUUGUUGACGGUCCUUAAGUAUCAAAUUUAAUUAUCAAAUAAACAAAGAAAAGGAUCCAAAUGAAAUCAACAUCUAGACUCAGGGUUUUAUCUGACUGAAUUCCACGAGUUUUGGUGUUUGUCUAUUUUUGCAGGGGGUUAUCAGAGAAUACGGAAGAAAGGGCCACACGUCGCGAUUACAUAGAGAUAUUAACGUGCCGCGCAAUUAUCUUACAUCUAGAAGACUCCAGAAGCCACGAGACCGAAGCGGAGGCGAAACGGGGCCUGAGGCAGGGCGCCCGGCCCCUCUAAGAGUCCAACCAGGACUCUGCUUCGUGGGAGAUCUCCACCAACCUAAAGGAUCAAGGAUAACCGUUCAAUCUAAGUCGGUUUGAUCCAACGGCCCAUAUUCACUUGAAGGGACUAUAAAACCAGACCCCCUGACCCCUAGAGGAGAGAGCCUCUCAACCCUAAUUCAUUAUUCUUCAAGGGAGAAGAAGCCUCUGAUCAAGAUUAGAGCCACCACAUCAAUUAGAUAUCUAGAUUAGCAUAGCUACAUAGGAUUAGAACUAGAAGGAGUCAAUCUUCGAUUGGUUUCCGGAUCUGUCAAGAGGAUUUUUGGUAAUUCUCUAAUUGUGCUUCUAAUUGUUCUUCUAAUUAACUUUGUUCUUCAAUAUUAUGAAUAUGACUUUGUUCUACUUCAAUAUAUUGCUUAUGACUUUGCUCUACUUGCUUAUAUUCAAGAUUAUAUUGUUCUUAGUUUAUCAUGUUUAUAUACUUGGCUUAGUUAGAUUGGAUCUAUAUACAUGCUUAGGAUCGUAUAGCGUUUAUCCAUCGGAUCCAUGGGUAAAUGAUAGAUAUUGUGUAGGCGUGGUGCUUAUACCGUAUUUAUCUGCGAUUGUACCUAAUAUUCCAGAUCGUGGGGUAGUUUGUGAUAGUGACAGCUUCAUUGAUUCUUAUAUAGUCCCCGUCUCGUGUAUUGGGCUGGCAGAGCAAUAUUAUUACAGGGGAGUGAUUGCUAUGUUUCUCAUUUACCUUGCUAAUAUCACUAUGCAUGGGCGUAGUCUUGUCUCACAAUGAUUGUUAAGUAUGCUUGCACUAACUAUGAUAAUGCUAAACUAUAUAGUUGAGAAUAACUUAGGGAAUAUUCUUGUAGUUCGUUCUAAUACCAUGCUAAUGACUUUCUAAAGUAUCUACUUGAGGUGCUUAUCAUAUUUAUAUGUGGCUGAUCAGAUUAAUUAUCUUUGUCACUAUUCAUUAUUUCAUAUAUCUUUUAUGUGACAUUUAUCCCUGUAUGAAGAGUUAGAUAAAUGUUCUCAAUUAUACAUGCAAUGAUAGAUACUCAAUCUCAUAUUCUAUUCUAUAAUCAAUAUUGAUGAUUGUUAAUCCCUUCCCAGUGGUAAAAAUAUAAAUAACGAUACCUGGAAUACUUCCCGGUUAAAAUGCUAGAUCGGUAUUAAUCUGUGCGCUUACAGAUCCCAUUCAUUAUUUAUUUAGAAGAGCAAUUGCAUAUUUCAAUACCGUGUCUCUCAUGUCAUGCUGGAGAUGACAACUUGGCUUAAGUGGUGUGAGGGAUAGGUUUGGCAUUUUUGGCACCGUUACUAGAUUUAGAGAACUUAGUCUACUUUUGGUAAUGAUGUUAAGAAUACCCAACAGGCACCUCUCAACUCUAUGAUGAGCUUUUCUCCUCCAGGGGACAGAGGGUGUAAUACCCGAUUUUAAGGACAAAACCAGAUAUGCACCAUAUGUGAGUUUUAAAAGCCAAAUCUCAAAUAUAGCUACAAAUAAGGGGUAAUAUCAAAAGACAAUGCAUAAACAUAUAACAUACUUAGUAUAAAAGAGAUAACCUUUAUUAACAAACAGCGGAUAGAAAACUCCAAACUUCGGGUAUUAACUUCUCUCCACAGGAUCCAACUGACUAGUUGAUCACAAGCCUAAACUUCUCCUGAGGUUUGAGGGAAAUAGCAAGAGUGAGUCCAUGUCGAACUCCACAAAUAUAGCAACUAGAUUGUAUAUAUCCCACAAUCUCAUGAUCAAUGUGACAUAAAUAAUGUAAAGCAUUAAACAAUAAACGAUGAGCAUAUUUAACACACAAGAAUCAUCACCCUUAAUGUAGAUGUCCCCAAGGCCGCUCCUGACCGUGAGCUCGGCUAGUAUACUAGUUUUUAACCCUCUGCAGAGGUUGCACAUCUUUACCCAUAAGUCAUGAUUUACCCUUUCGCCCGAGGUAGCUAAUCUCUUAACCCCCUUCCUUGGGAGGUCGGUAGGGAUCACUAUGAAGUCUUUCAAAGGUUCGUCUAACAAGUUAGGGCCGCUUGGUUUCAUUAGUCAGUCCAUGUGAUUCACCCGCAGGAAUCCACGGUCUGCUAUUCCCCAAUUGCGCCACAGGGGUAACCGCUAACGAGCUAGAAAAGUUACUCAUACUUAACUAAAGCCAGAGCCAUUAUAGCCCUCAUGGUUGCACUAUUGUCCCGGGUGAUCACGUAUAGACAAAUCAUCAAGGUGCUCAAAAGUCAUUUUUAUCAUUUAUUGCUUAACAUUAAUCUAGCCACAAGAUCAUGGUCACAGAAAUAAAAUCCAAAUGCUAUACUUGCCUUGAUCCGAAUGAUCUUGCUGAUCCUACUGAUCUUUCUAGUUGUCCAAGGCUCUGAUCUUGCUUGUUGUAGCACUCUUGAUCACCAUAGAUUAUGCACCGUCUAAUCACGAUCAUCGAUCACCAACACAAACAUCAUAGACAACAUACACGAAGCAAACAAGGCUACAAUUAGAACAGUACACCAAUCAUAUAAAAAUAGUAUGAAAAGUUUAUAAAAUGAUUCUACGAAUCGCUAUGAUUUCAUAUACGUAAAGAUCGCAAAAAUCGGAGCUAAAUCGGAGAAGUUAUGAAUUUUCUAAGAUUUUAUGUAGAAAAGAAAUUAAUUAAUUAGGGUCACAAAAUUAAAAAGUUUCAAACUGAGUAAAUAAUAUUACUAAUAUGUAGAGCUUAUUAAUACGAAUCCAACGCAAUUUGGAUGGGUCAAAACGAGAUUAAAAUGAAUAUUUUAUGGCCAAAAGAAAACCAGUGGCAAACUUGUAAAUACUAGAAAGCGUAUUUUCUUUUAAGCCGAUAAGAAUACGUUUUCCGAAUUGAAAAGCGUAAACCAAAUAAUACGCCAAGGGACGGCGGGUACUAAUCUAAAGUUUUUCGGGGUCUCUUUAGCAAAUGUUACCCCGAAAGGGUAUCUUCUAAUCUAGGGCGUCGAUCUAGGAUCCUACGGCUCAAAUUCAACCAGUGGGUGGGCACAUGGCCGGCGACGAGCUUCACACGGCCGGGUGCCAUUGCCGGCCUCUCGAGCUCGCCGGAGUUCGCCUAAUCCGCGUUUUGGUGCACCACUCACAAAACCGAGAGUAUGGGGAGCUAGAGGAGGUUAACGCGAGCUCACCUAGGGCGGAAUCGCAGGCGAAAAGGGGCUUGGAGAGGGCCGACCACGCGGAACGGCAGACGAUGGCUCCCUGCACCGGUUCGGCGUCGACGUGAGAACAAAAGAACGGGAUAGAGCGUUAGGGGAUGAUCUUGAAGGCUUCGUUACCCCGAUGCGAAGCUCGGCAAGGGCUCGAAAGCGACGGCACGACCGGGGAUAGGGCGCUCCACGACGACGGCUUCCAACUCUUUCUCGGCGAGAUCCAGAACCCAAGAACACACGAAGCUACAGCACUAAAUAAGCUGCGUAGAUGAAAAAGGAAGGAGCAGGGAAGGAGCUAGGGCUUUAAAGGGGUUCGAUUUGGUCAUGGUUAACGGAGAAUCCCGGGAAAUCGGGUUCGGCCUGCCUCCAGCCAAGUUCGUCUCGCUCACGCCUCCGGGAAGAAGAUGGGAGGGGGGUUGAGACACUGCCGUGUGGGGGCCGGGUGUCAGUGGGUGCAGUUGUGGGUCCCGGCCGUCAGCCAGAGAGAGAGGGGGAUGUGCUGGGCUGCGGCUUCUGGCCCGAGAGAAGGAGAGUGGGCCGAGGGGGGGAAAGGGAGCGGCCUUCGGCCGAGAGGGAGGGUUUUCCCCUUUCUUUUUUUUUCAUUUCUAUUUUAUAUUUUCCAAAGCUCUUUCAAAAUAGUUUUGAGUUCUUUUAAUUCUCAAAUAAAACACACAGCACAAAAACAAUUAUUCUCCAGCAUGAAUGCUCAUUCAAGUUUGCUAAACUUAUGAUAAAUUUUAAUGAAAAAAAAUUAUUACCCUAUGUUUCAUGAGCACAAAAAUACAGAAUUAAAUCAUUUCCACCUAUUUCAAAAUUUGUAAAUUUUUGGGUGUUACAAAUCUACCCCCCUUAAAAUGAAUCUCGUCCUCGAGAUUCGAAAGAGACACAGAUUCCAAAAGAGAAACAGGAAAAAGAUCUUGAUCAUUAUUUCAACUUGACAACUUGUAUUCCAAAUGCAAGCACUUAUGUUUCGGGAUUACAACUUGUGAACAAAACUUCCAUAAGAUGUCUAUUAUUCGUAAUUGCUCACUGUCCAUCUUGACUACCAACUUUUCAAAUUAUACAACUCAAAGACAUGAUACCUCGGCAUGGAUAUGCCUCCUCAGGUAGGAGUGGACCACCUUGAUGCUCAAUUCUUUUCCCUGAUGGUGCAGUUAAGACAAUUUUCCACUGGGUAGCAUAGUUCACUACCUUGUGUGCACAUAACCAUCCAUUGCCAAGAACCAAAGGAAUGUUGAGUGACUCUAGCACAAUGAGGUUUACAGUGAAGUUUUCCUUCUUUAUGACAAGAUUGAUAUUUGAGCAAACCUGAUCUGCCCUUAUUUCUCCCAUUGGGGUUUGAACUAACAAAGGCUUUCUCAUCGAACACUUCACCCGUUCGAUUGUCUUUAACAAGUUGGCGGAAAUAAAAGAAUGCAAAGCACUUCGGUCAAACAGAGCAAAAACUAGCACUAAGUCCACUUGAAUAUAGCCUCCCACCACUUUGGUGGCUCCUUGAAUGUUAUGCAUAUCCACAUUGUUCAGUCUUCCAUUGAUGUAAUUUCGCUGUACUUUAUUUCCGAGAGCAGGCUUCUUACGAGCUUUCCUUUUACGCUUCCGUCGUUGUGGAUUUUGAUUUGAUUCAUUGUCAACUUGCUCUUCCAUAUUAUUAUUUUGAUAACACUUAGCUUUGUCAUACUCAUAGCAUCUUUCUUCAAAGGCAAGAUGAUCAUAAUCUUCCCACCUAUCCAUGAGAGGCGUCAUAUUAUGCUCCGAAUCCAUGGGACACUACACUCCCUGUCAUCAAGUGACCAACGUCAGUAACAUGGCAACGGUAGAUGAUCAUAAUCAGAGGAUAUCUUAGAAGACAAUUAUCACUCCAAUCUAGUCUUAAAAUGCAUCACCCGUGAUAUCAAGGUACUACCCCCCUUAAAAUUAGAUUGAUUGGGGGACACUAGGGAAUAGUUCUCCUAUCCUUUUUGGACGCCACAUAUCAUAGUCUUUUACAUUCGUGGUACCGAGUCUCUUGAUCCAUCCAACAUUAUCCAAUUCUUCUCCAUGUAACCCCCUUUAUUUGGGCUACCGCCCUUAUGAAAGGUCAACUAGGGGACACAAGAAGGGUAGCUAGCAUAUUUUCCAGACAAGUUAACUAACAUUGCAAACUUAUGACAUUCCAAAGAACUUAUGUGCAAGAGAAUAAACCUGUAUCCUGAAAUUUUUCCUCGCGAUAUGAAAAACACCAGAAUAGAAAAACAGGUAUAACUCUCAUUCUGUUAAUCCGAUAGAGUUAUAGCUUAUAUCGUUAGAAAACUUAUGAAAUUCCCUACAACUUUCAUGUACAAGUCCUCCUUAGGUUCUGUCUUUAAGCAUAGGUAAAAUAACCAAACAUAAUAUCCUUCCUGAUAAUGUCUCAGCAAAGGUGCAGUAAAUUCCAGAAAUUAUAUCUCGAGCUACUUAACUCAUCUGGAGAUGAUCCUUACAUUUUUGAAAAGCUUAGGAAAUCCUCUACAACUUUCGUAUACCAUGUUUUCCCAGAUUCUGUCUUUAACUUGUCCGAAAAUAGGGAAUACCAAAACUGUCCAGACUUUGAUACAGAACAGAAACAUCCAAUUGUAAAUAUCAUAUCUCAUGUUCUACUUAGCCAAAUAAGUUGCAGCUUAUACCGUUGGAAAUCUUAGCAAGUCGUCUAUAACUUUUCUAUAGAACACUUUUCCAAUUCUGUAGUUAUAUUUGUCUCAAACAGCAAGUUCUCGAAACUGGUCCAGAUUCUGGACAGCACAUCUGUAUCAUCUUGUGAUUUUUGUAACAUCCAAACCAUAACAGCUAUGAGGGUGAUUCUUGCGGUCAGGGAAAGAUCUUGAAGUCUAUUUGUUCCCAGAAAAAUUUGGUAAACUUUGCGCGAUCAGAUCUUGAGAUGUACCAGAUUCAUUGCAGACUGCUCUAGAAAACAGCAAAGGACAAAAACAGGAUAUAACCAAACCCAACUACUUAUGUCAUUACUCCUUAUGCCUUACUUCUAUAAACCAAAUGAAAUUGUGAAGAAACUCACAAAAUCAUUACACUCAUUACAAAGAUCCAAAUCAAGCAUAAACAUAAUAACAAACCAAUUAAGCAUCGAAGGUUCACACUUCACUCAACUUGCGAUACUAUCGUUUUCUUCGUAGUAAGGGUAGAGAUCCUAAAAUUCUCUUUCAACUACGUAAGCAGGUGGUAAGAGAAGAUUCUAAAAGCUUAUCAAAUCAAGAAGUGAAGAUGAGAACAAAGACUUUUAAAAUAAGCAACAAGAUAGAGACAAAUAGCAUGGAUAGAGAUAUAGUAUGGAAGAAAAUACCAAGGUUUUUAGAGCAAGGAUUUUAUGACAAUUAAAAACCUUAAGACGACUAAUUUGUAACUAGGCUUGCGUCCUACAGUCAGCAUUGCUUUGAUACCACUUUGUAAUACCCGAUUUUAAGGACAAAACCAGAUAUGCACCAUAUGUGAGUUUUAAAACCCAAAUCUCACAUAUAGCUACAAAUAAGGGGUAAUAUCAAAAGACAAUGCAUAAACAUAUAACGUACUUAGUAUAAAAGAGAUAACCUUUAUUAACAAACAGCAGAUAGAAAACUCCAAACUUCGGGUAUUAACUUCUCUCCACAGGAUCCAACUGACAGGUUGAUCACAAGCCUAAACUUCUCCUGAGGUUUGUGGGAAAUAGCAAGAGUGAGUCCAUGUCGAACUCCACAAGUAUAGCAACUAGAUUGUAUAUAUCCCACAAUCUCAUGAUCAAUUUGACAUAAAUAAUGUAAAGCAUUAAACAAUAAACGAUGAGCAUAUUUAACACAUAAGAAUCAUCACCCUUAAUGUAGAUGUCCCCAAGGCCGCUCCUGACCGUGAGCUCGGCUAGUAUACUAGUUUUUAACCCUCUGCAGAGGUUGCACAUCUUUACCCAUGAGUCAUGAUUUACCCUUCCGCCCGAGGUAGCUAAUCUCUUAACCCCCUUCCUAGGGAGGUCGGCAGGGAUCACUAUGAAGUCUUUCAAAGGUUCGUCUAACAAGUUAGGGCCGCUUGGUUUCAUUAGUCAGUCCAUGUGAUUCACCCGCAGGAAUCCACGGUCUGCUAUUCCCCAAUUGCGCCACAGGGGUAACCGCUAACGAGCUAUAAAAGUUACUCAUACUUAACUAAAGCCAGGGCCAUUGUAGCCCUCAUGGUUGCACUGUUGUCCCGGGUGAUCACGUACAGACAAAUCAUCAAGUUGCUAAAAAGUCAUUUUUAUCAUUUAUUACUUAACAUUAAUCUAGCCACAGGAUCAUGGUCAUAGAAAUAAAAUCCAAAUGCUAUACUUGCCUUGAUCCAAAUGAUCUUGCUGAUCCUGCUGAUCUUUCUAGUUGUCCAAGGCUCUGAUCUUGCUUAUUGUAGCACUCUUGAUCACCACAGAUUAUGCACCGUCUAAUCACGAUCAUCGAUCACCAACACAAACAUCAUAGACAACAUACACGAAGCAAACAAGGCUACAAUUAGAACAGUACACCAAUCAUAUAAAAACAGUAUGAAAAGUUUAUAAAAUGAUUCUACGAAUCGCUACGAUUUCAUAUACGUAAAGAUCGCGAAAAUCGGAGCUAAAACGGAGAAGUUAUGAAUUUUCUACGAUUUUAUGUAGAAAAGAAAUUAAUUAAUUAGGGUCACAAAAUUAAAAAGUUUCAAACUGAGUAAAUAAUAUUACUAAUAUGCAGAGCUCAUUAAUAUGAAUCCAACGCAAUUUGGAUGGGUCAAAACGGGAUUAAAAUGAAUAUUUUAUGGCCAAAAGAAAACCAGUGGCAAACUUGUAAAUACUAGAAAGCGUAUUUUCUUUUAAGCCGAUAAGAAUACGUUUUCCGAAUUGAAAAGCGUAAACCAGAUAAUACGCCAAGGGACGGCGGGUUCUAAUCUAAAGUUUUUCGGGGUCUCUUUAGCAAAUGUUACCCCGAAAGGGUAUCUUCUAAUCUAGGGCAUCGAUCUAGGAUCCUACGGCUCAGAUUCAACCAGUGGGUGGGCACAUGGCCGGCGACGAGCUUCACACGGCUGGGCGCCAUUGCCGGCCUCUCGAGCUCGCUGGAGUUCGCCUAAUCCGUGUUUUGGUGCACCACUCACAAAACCGAGAGUAUGGGGAGCUAGAGGAGGUUAACGCGAGCUCACCUAGGGCGGAAUCGCAGGCGAAAAGGGGCUUGGAGAGUGCCGACCACGCGGAACGGCGGACGAUGGCUCCCUGCACCGGUUCGCCGUCGAUGUGAGAACAAAAGAACGGGGUAGAGCGUUAGGGGAUGAUCUUGAAGGCUUCGUUACCCCGAUGCGAAGCUCGGCAAGGGCUCGAAAGCGACGGCACGACCGGGGAUAGGGCGCUCCACGACGACGGCUUCCAACUCUUUCUCGGCGAGAUCCAGAACCCAAGAACACACGAAGCUACAGCCCUAAAUAAGCUACGUAGAUGAAAAAGGAAGGAGCAGGGAAGGAGCUAGGGCUUUAAAGGGGUUCGAUUUGGGCAGGGUUAACAGAGAAUCCCGGGAAAUCGGGUUCGGCCUGCCUCCAGCCGAGUUCGUCUCGCUCACGCCUCCGGGAAGAAGAUGGGAGGGGGGUGAGACACUGCCGUGUGGGGGCCGGGUGUCAGUGGGUGCAGUUGCGGGUCCCGGCCGUCAGCCAGAGAGAGAGGGGGAUGUGCUGGGCUGCGGCUUCUGGCCCGAGAGAAGGAGAGUGGGCCGAGGGGGGGAAAGAGAGCGGCCUUCGGCCGAGAGGGAGGGUUUUCCCCUUUCUUUUUUUUCAUUUCUAUUUUAUAUUUUCCAAAGCUCUUUGAAAAUAGUUUUGAGUUCUUUUAAUUCUCAAAUAAAACACACAGCACAAAAACAAUUGUUCUCCAGCAUGAAUGCUCUUUCAAGUUUGCUAAACUUAUGAUAAAUUUUAAUGAAAAAAUAUUAUUACCCUAUGUUUCAUGAGCACAAAAAUACAGAAUUAAAUCAUUUCCACCUAUUUCAAAAUUUGUAAAUUUUUGGGUGUUACAGAGGGUCUGCUUAUAUAGUCCCCUCAGGUGAACGUGGGCCGUCGGAUCAAACCGACAUUGAUUGAACGGUUAUCCUUGAUCCUUUAGGUCGGUGGAGCAUGAUCCGCGAAGUUGGCUCUCAUUGGUGGAGACACCAGGGCGGGCGCCCUGCCCCGGGCCCGAUCGCCUUCCCGUUCGUUCUCGUGGCUUCUAGAGUCUUCUAGAUGGUAGAAAAUUGCACGGUGCGCUAAUAUCUCUAUGUACUCCCGACAUGUGGGCCUUUCUUCCUUAUUUCCUGAUAACCCCCUGCAGAAACAGAUAAACAACAAAACUUGUGGAAUUCUAUCAAAUCAAACCCUAAUUCUAGGUGUUGUUUGUAUAUUUGUCCUUUUCCUUGUUUAUUUGAUAAUUAAAAUUAAUACUUGAGAACCGUCAACAGCGAUCCCCAACUACACCUACCUCAAGCUGAAGAUGCCAGGUCCCAAGGGGGUCAUCACCGUCAGCUCCUCCUACGAGCAUGCCUAUGAAUGCGACAUCGAGUGCGUCGAAUUUGGGGAAGCGGUCAAGAGCAGCACUGAGCUUGCCUCGAGGCCGAGGCGCUCACCGCCUAGGAACUAGAGCCAAAGCGUGACACGGGUAGCUUCGAGCCGGCAGAAGGUACGAAGAAGGUCCCGCUCGACCCCGACAACUUUGACGGCAAGGCGCUAACGAUCAGCACCGACCUUGACCCCAAAUAGGAAGCCAUGCUCGUCGACUUUCUCCGCAUGAAUGCUGACAUGUUUGCGUGGAGUCCCUCGGAUAUGCCAGGCAUACCGUGGGAAGUCGCCGAGCACUCCUUGGAAUCUUAGACGGUUCCAAACUAGUGAAGCAACGACUGUGCCGCUUCGACGAGGAGAAGCGCAAGAUCAUUGGUGAGGACGUUCACAAGCUAUUGAAGGCCGGAUUCAUCAAGGAGGUUCAUCAUCCCGAGUGGUUAGCCAAUCCUGUAUUAGUUAAGAAAAAGAAUGGAAAAACGAGGAUGUGUGUAGAUUAUACCAGUUUAAAUAAAGCGUGUCAAAAAGUUCCAUUUCCCUUACCACACAUUUACCAAAUUGUAGUUUCCACCGCAACAUGUGAAACCCUUUUUUCCUUGAUGCUUAUUCAGGAUACCAUCAGAUAAAGAUGGAGUCUGACCAGCUCACGACUUCUUCCAUCACCCCUUUCGGUAUGUAUUGUUAUGUGACUAUGCCCUUUGGGCUUCAAAAUGCUAUUGCGACAUAUCAAUGAUGCAUGAUCCAUGUUUUCGGAGAACUCACAGGGUCGACGGUCGAGGCAUAUGUCGAUAAUAUCGUCGUCAAAUCAAAAAGCUGGGUGACCUGAUUCAAGACUGUUGACGGUCCAUAAGUAUCAAAUAUAAUCAACAAAUAAACAAAGAAAAGGAUCCAAAUGCAACCGACAUCCAGACUUAGGGUUUUAUCUGACAGAAUUCCACGAGUUUUGGUGUUUGUCUAUUUCUGUAGGGGGUUAUCAGGAAAUAUGGAGGAAAGGCCCACACGUCGGGUUUACAUAGAGAUAUUAACGUGCCGUGCAAUUAUCUAACAUCUAGAAGAGUCCAGAAGCCACGAGAACGAACGGCAGACCGGAUGGGCUCGGGGGCAGGGCACCCGCCCUCCCCCCUUGGGCGCCCGCCUUGGCCUCAGGGCCAAUCAGCUUCAACUUCGCGGAUCAUGCUCCACCGACCUAAAGGAUCAAGGAAAACCGUGCGAUUAAUGUCGGUUUGAUCCGACGGCCCACAUUCACUUGGAAGGACUAUAUAAGCAGACCCGUUGGCCCCAGUAGGAGAGGCCUCAGACCCCUAAUUCAUUAUUCAUCUUAGGAGAAGAAGCCUCUAAUCAAGCCCUAGAGCCACCACAUCAAUUAGAUCUCUAGAUUAGCAUAACUACAUAGGAUUAGAAAUAGAAGGAGUCAAUCUUCGAUUGGUUUCCGGGUCUGUCAAGAGGAUUCAUGCUAAUUCUCUAUUGUUCUUCAAUUGUUCAUCUUUGUUCUUCAAUAUUAUGAAUAUGACUUUGCUCUACUUCAAGAUAUUGAUUAUGACUUUGCUCUACUUGUUUAUAUUCACAAUUAUAUUGUUCUUAGUUUAUCGUAGUUAUAUACUUGGCUUAGUUAGUUUGGAAUUAUAUACAUAUUUAGGACCGUAUAGCAUUUAUCCAUAUGUACAGUGGGUAAAUGAUAAGUAUUGUGUAGGCGUGGUGCCUAUACCGUAUUUAUCUACGAUUGUACCCUAUAUGCAGAUCGCGGGGUAGUUCGUGGUAAUGACAGCUCCAUUGAUUCUUAUAUAGUCCCCUCUCGUGUAUAGGGCUGGCAGAACAACAUUAUUACAGAGGAGUGAUUGCGAUGUUUCUCAUAUUCCUUGAUAAUAUCACUAUGCAUGGGCGUAGUCCUGUCUCGCAAUGAUUGCCAAGUGUAAUUGCACUAACUAUGAUACGCUAUACUGUUUAGUUAAGAAUAACUUAGAAAAUAUUCUUGUAGUUCGUCCUAAUUCCAUGCUAAUGACUUGCUAGAGUAUCUAAUUGAGGUGCUCAUCAUAUUUAUUAUGUGGCUACGUUAUGCUGAUCAGAUUAAUUAUCUUUGUCACCAUUCAUAUUUUAUCUUUAUCCUAUGUGACACUUAUCCCUGUAUGAAAGAGAUAGAUAGAUGCUCUCAAUUAUACAUGCAAUGAUAGAUAUCAAUCCUAUAUUCCAUUCUAUAAUCAACAUUGAUGUUUAGCAAUCCCUUCUCAGUGGUAAAAAUAUAAAUAACGAUACCUGGAAUACUUCCCGGUUAAAACGCAACAUCGGUAUUAAUCUGUGCGCUUGCAGAUCUCAUUUAUUAUUUAUUUAGAAGAGCAAUUGCAUAUUUCAAUACCGGGUCUUUUAUGUCAUGCUGGGGAUGACAACUUGGCUUAAGUGGCAUGAGGGAUAAGUUGGCAUUUUUGGCGCCGUUAUCAGAAUUAGAAAACUAAGUCUACUUUUGGUAGUGACGUUAAGAAUGCCAACAAGCAUUUUUGGUGUCGUUGCCGGGGAAGGUUGAUUACUAAUCAGGAAUGAAUAUGGAAUUUUGAGUCAUCAUUCGCAUCACUAAUAUGAUUGAGCUUAUCAAUUCUCUCAUACAGUUUUACCCCGAUAUUUUUCUAUUUUAUCUUAUGUAGUGUAAUGUAUGAAUAGAAGACAUCUUCCAGGAAAUUUUGUUGACAAUCCCGAAGCAUUAUUCAGAAAAACAAGAGCCAAGCUCAAGAAGAGAUCAUCAACACCUCAGCACGAAGCUUCAUCCAAUCACGAAGAUCACCGAAGUUUCACCCGAAACAUGUCUUCAGAAUUCGAAGUCAUGGCGAACAAAUCGAUCCGCGAGUUCUCAGCUCCCACUACGGACAACAUCCGUAUUAGACCUACUGUAGAGAUCGAUGGCAACUUUGAGCUCAAGCCUGGACAUAUCAACAUGGUGCAAUCCAACCAGUUCUGUGGAAAGACACACGAAGAUGCUAGUGCUCAUCUCCAACACUUUCUGGAGAUUUGCAGCACAUUCACCAUAUCAGGAGUCCCCAGAGAUGCUAUACUACUUCGCCUCUUCCCAUUCUCACUGUUAGGGAGAGCAAAGCAUUGGUUCUAUGCUACAAAGGAGAAGAAUACUACGUGGGCACUCUGCUCCACGAACUUUCUGGCUAAGUUCUUUUCCAUGGGCAAGACCAAUGCUCUCCAUGGGAAAAUUACAAGUUUUCAGCAACAACAUGAUGAAUCCGUUCCAGAAGCAUAGGAGCGCUUCCAAGACAACAUCCUAGAAUGUCCCCAUCAUGGAAUGGAGAGCUGGCUACUGAUGCAGACGUUUUAUCAUGGGCUCGGCAAUAGUGCCCGAGAAACCAUGGAUGCUGUAGCUGGAGGAGCAUUCUUAUCCCUCACCAUAUCACAAGCCACAGCUCUUGUGGAGAAGAUGCGUCCAACCAAGGCUGGAAUGAAGAAAGGACCCAGACAUGCAAGAGAGGUGGAGGUAUGCAUUAGCUCAAGGAGGUAGACGUGCUGUCUGCUAAGCUAGACCUGCUCAUGAAGAAGCUUGAUUAUAGACCUAGAGAUAAGAAGGAAGUUAUUCACUUCUACGACUCUUACAUGACUUGUGAAGAGUGUGGAGGUACUGGACACUCAGGCAAUCACUGCCUUGAGAUGCUUGAGGAUGUGAACUACAUCAACAACAACAACAACAUCUACUACAACCGUCCUCAACAAAAUCAAGGUUGGUAAUUAUCAAGGUAACAAUUCUUACAACAAUAAUAAAAAUUUUCCACCUCUGAGACAGUUAGUGUCUAAAUAAGGAAAGCUAAUAGAUAACUUAUCUAAGAAAUUGGCAUCUAAUGAUAAAAUGCUAGAAAAUAUAAAUAAUACAAUGGAUAAUUUCUCUACUGCCAUCAAGAAUCAAAUUAGCUUUAAUAAAAUGAUUGAAUCCCAGUUAAAUCAAAUAGCUGCUGCUGUUCCUGCUACUAACCCCAGUAUACCAUCACAACCGGAAGGAUUAGAAUCUUCAAAUCUUGUAGACAUGUUUGAUACAGGUAACUACUGGAGUAACCCCGUCGCGGAAGCUACUGCUGACCUUCUGCCAGUCAAGAGAGGCGAUCCAGGAUGCCCCAUCAUCCCGAUCUCCAUCGGCAUGGUGGACUUUCUAGAAGCACUUUGUGACUUUGGCUCUAGUGUCAACAUUAUGCCCAGGGUACUCUAUGAAAAAUUCUUUACAUAUCCUUUAUUAGAAACAACCAUGUGUUUGCAGUUUGCAUAUUAGGCAUUAAGUUUCCCAAAGGGAAUAUUGACGAACCUCUGUGUCCGAGUUGGUACCUUGUAUGCCCCAGUAGACUUCGUGGUGAUAGAGACAGGUAAUGAUGAGAGGGCACCCGUCAUCUUAGGGAGGCCAUUCCUAAACACCUCGGGAGCUGUCAUCUACGCUAGUGCUACCAUGAUCAAUUUCUACAUCAAAGAAAGGAGACGUUUUCCUUCAAGAACAAGACUACACAAAUCCCAGAGCAAUCCAGACAAGAACCAAGGAAGAGGACCAACAAGAGGAACAGGAACAAGCAAGUGUGGAUCAAGUCAGCUAAGAUGGUCACUACAGUUCAUGGAGGUCAAGAUCAUCGACUUAAGUCACCGUUUCUGACAAAGAAAGACGACCCAGGUAUGCCAAGCAUCUAUUGCUCCAUGAAUGGAUACAACUUCUACAAGACAUUUUGCGACACCGGAUCGGGCGUCAACAUAAUGGCCGUAGUCACCUAUCAGCUCCUGUUCAAAACCAUGCCCCUAAAACCGACAUACAUUUAGCUCUAGAUGGCAGAUCAGACAUUUCAAAAGGUUGAAGGUAUAGCAACUGAUGUCCCUGUCAAAAUAGAUGAUCAUUUUGUCCAUACAGACUUUCAGGUUAUUGACAUGGAAGAAGAUGAGUACGAUGCACCCAUCAUCUUUGGGAGACCAUUCCUCGGCACCGUCAAAGAAAUCAUUUACAUUGGAACUGGAGAAGUCCACAUGCACUUCCCUUCUGAGAAGGUGCGUCGUUAUUUUACUAACCCUAACUAUAUAGUUGAAGACUCUAAGCAGGUCAGGACAAGAAGAAGACGACGCAACUGCAACCAGAAGAGGCAAAUCAUCAAGGAUGGAUGGGCAGACUAUGAAGGAGAAGUGGUAAGGUCUGAAGACAUACAGCUUGAACAGAAUUAUCCUGAGGAGACCAUAGCACCGAGUCAGGUGUGGAGAGAGAAGAUAACUAUACACGAAGAAGAGGCGCCACCGGAAGCACCGACUACGCCAUCCAACAAAUCCCAUGACGACUGAGAAAACGGAGAGUCCCGUUCGGAGGACAUAAAAACACCGAACGCCUUGCCAAGAGGUAAACUUGGUAGAUGUCCUUUUCCCUUUUUACUUAUUUAAAAUAGUUUACUUAGUUAAUCAGGUUCAUACUAUCUUAAAAAGAAAAUAAAAAUGUUAAAACCAGUAAGCCCCAUGUGAGUAUACGAGUGGCAUAAAACCCAUAAGUACAUUCACUGUGGUGGCAUAAAAAUAAAAUAAAUAAUUUUUUCUGCUUUAUAAAAUGAAAUUAUAAAAAUUAGAGAGUAACAUUUAUUGAGGAAGCUCAACAUGAUAAAGGCUAGAUAUUUAUGCUAACACCUAAACAGUUCCACAAAGCUUUGUUGUCUAUUUGAGCUCCACAGAAUUCAAGGGUCAAGAAGACUAGUAGACGGAGGACAUUCUAAUCGCUGUCACGGUGCUGCCGACUUUCAAAUACACCUCUGCCACCUGCUAGCUACAUCAGAAAAAAUUACAUCAAAAUCCAGCUUGGGGGAGAGCACCCCCAUUUAUCCCGCUAAGUAUUUCUAUCUACAUUUACACUUAUACUAUUUUAAAAUAAAAAUAUACAUAACCAUAAAAAACCAAAUAAAGAUUUCGUAUAUAUAUAUAUCUUUUGCUUAGUGUGCUUAAUAAAUAAUUAAAGUGGCUAUGCAAAACUGAAUCUUAAUAAUAAAACUCUAGCAUGGAUAUGAUGAAUAGUUGCUCUGUCUAAUUUUCAAAUUUGAGUUCUCUCUCUAGCCUAGACAUAACUGUUAUAAUUUAAAGCUUGCCCUAAACCUGAACUUAUAGGAACAGAACUUGAUCUAAAGUUUAAGUUGUUGACAGAUAUGAUAUGGGAAGGUUGAGCUGCUGUUUAUCUAUUUCUAGAGAUGCUAGAAAUCUGGAGAAUUUUAUCUUUAAAAAAUCUUUAAAAUAUCACAUGAUGAGUUUCUGUAUGAUGAGAGUUUAAAUUCCUACUACAGCCAUAUAUACAUGCCUGCUAAGACUUUGAGCCACACAUUUACUUUUUACUGCUUAUGAGCAUUGAGUCUGGUCAAGCUAUGUAGACCCUUAGGAGCUUGUCAUGUGGUUAAAUCAAGAUUCACUUGCACAUUCACUCACACAAGCUGUUUCUACCCCAGAAGUACGCAUCCACAUAUAUCCACCCAUUUCCAUCUCUAGAACCACCCAAAAAAUAUUCUACUCCUAAUCCGGGAGAGAAUAGCCAAAAACAUUCUCCUAUUUCUAUUUUUCCCUGUGAAAUAAAUGCUCGAAUUAUCUUGGUUACUACCACUUGCUAUAUUAUUUCAGGAGAUGAGUGCUCUAAAAAAAAGAGAAAAGAUACGAGGAAAUAAAAAGGGGCAAGUGCCCGGAACCUCGAAAGAAAAGAAGAAGUGAGACGAGAGGUAAAAAUGGACAAGUGUCCGACAGUAGAAUUAGGGGUACAAGAUACCCACCUGAGAGAAAAGAAAAGAAAAAUAUAUAUAGAGCAUCUCAUUCUCCUCAAAAAGUUUCAAAAGAGCAUGGAAGGUAUAUAUCCCCUCAAAAGAGCACAAGUAGAAUUAGACUUUCACCAUUGUUAUCACCAUCAUCACCAUACACCAUUCAUUCACCACACAUGCACAUCUUGAUUUGACUUAUUGACUUGUUUCUCUGCAUCCAUUGUUUGACUAUGCAAUAAAUGUCUUGUAAGUAUGUAUACUUUAUCUCCCACCUAUGAGCUCCAGAUAUCAAAACCUUAUUAGAGUAGGGUGAGAGAGAAGGCAAUGUCACUAUGCCUUAUACCACAAAUACUACAUACUUUGAGAGAAGGCAUAUACCAUCACUGCCUUGGUAAGGAUCCAGAAAUACCACAAAAGAGAGAUCUGUGAGGGUCAUACAAGGAAUCUCUGAGUUUUAUUUGAAAAUCUGCAAAAACUCCAGAGCUAUAACUGAUCAAGAAUAAGAGACAUGGCACUUGAUUAGACCGUUCUAUCUUUUAACUACUCAAGAUAGAAGUGACGGUUACAUGUCCCGUGGUGAAAGGUAAAAUAAGUAAGUUUUAAGUAUUGACAGUUUACUCUAACUCAGAGAUGAUACCUCAUUUGAAAGCAUGUGUACCAUCAAUUAUUAAAGGCAUUACAGCAACUUCUGAUCCAUCACUGAGAUUAUCCUUGCUCAGGGACGAGCAAGAGGUAAGGUUGGGGGAGUUUGUUGAUGGUUCUUAAGUGUCAAAUAUAAUCAAUAAAUAAACAAAGAAAAGGAUCCAAAUGCAACUAACAUCCAGACUUCUGACAGAAUUCCACAAGUUUUGGUGUUUGUCUAUUUUUGCAGGGGGUUAUCAGGAAAUAUGGAGGAAAGGCCCACACGUCGGGUUUACAUAGAGAUAUUAACGUGCCGCGUAAUUAUCUAACAUCUAGAAGAGUCCAGAAGUCACGGGAAUGAACGGAGACCAGACGGGCUCGGGGGCAGGGCGCCCGCCCUAACCUCGGGGCCAAUCAGCUUCAACUUCACGGAUCAUUCUCCACCGACCUAAAGGAUCAAGGAAAACCAUGCGAUUAAUGUCGAUUUGAUCCGAAGGCCCACAUUCACUUGGAAGGACUAUAUAAGCAGACCCCUGGCCUCUGGAGGAGAGGACCUCAGACCCCUAAUUCAUUAUUCAUCUUGGGAGAAGAAGCCUCUGAUCAAGCCCUAGAGCCACCACAUCAAUUAGAUCUCUAGAUUAGCAUAGCUACACAGGAUUAGAACUAGAAGGAGUCAAUCUUCGUUUGGUUUCCGAAUCUGUCAAGAGGAUUCUUGGUAAUUCUCUAUUGUUCUUCAAUUGUUCAUCUUUGUUCUUCAAUAUUAUGAAUAUGACUUUGCUCUACUUCAAGGUAUUGAUUAUGACUUUGCUCUACUUGUUUAUAUUCGUAGUUAUAUUGUUCUUAGUUUAUCAUAGUUAUAUACUUGGCUUAGUUAGAUUGGAAUUAUAUACAUGUUUAGGAUUUUAUAGCAUUUAUCCAUGUGUACAGUGGGUAAAUGAUAAGUAUUGUGUAGGCGUGGUGCCUAUACCGUAUUUAUCUGCGAUUGUACUCUAUAUGCCAGAUCGCGGGGUAGUUCGUGGUAGUGAUAGCUCCAUUGAUUCUUAUAUAGUCCCCCUCUCGUGUAUAGGGCUGGCAGAGUAACAUUAUUACAGGAGAGUGAUUGCGAUGUUUCUCAUAUUCCUUGAUAAUAUCACUAUGCAUGGGCAUAGUCCUGUCUCGCAAUGAUUGCCAACUGUAAUUGCACUAACUAUGAUACGCUAGACUGUAUAGUUAAGAAUAACUUAGGAAAUAUUCUUGUAGUUCGUCCUAAUUCCAUGCCAAUGACUUGCUAGAAUAUCUAAUUGAGGUGCUUAUCAUAUUUAUUAUGUGGCUAAGUUAUGCUGAUCAGAUUAAUUAUCUUUGUGACCAUUCAUAUUUUAUCUAUAUCUUAUGUGACACUUAUCCCUGUAUGAAAGAGAUAGAUAUAUGCUCUCAAUUAUAUAUGCAAUGAUAGAUACUCAAUCCUAUAUUCCAUUCUAUAAUCAACAUUGAUGUUUAGCAAUCCCUUCCCAGUGGUAAAAAUAUAAAUAACGAUACCUCGAAUACUUCCCGGUUAAAAUGCUACAUCGGUAUUAAUAUGUGCGCUUGCAGAUCUGAUUUAUUAUUUAUUUAGAAGAGCAAUUGCAUAUUUCAAUACCGCGUCUUUUAUGUCAUGCUGGGGAUGACAACUUGGCUUAAGUGGCAUGAUGGAUAGGUUUGGCAUUUUUGGCGCCGUUAUCAGAAUUAGAAAACUAAGUCUACUUUUGGUAGUGACGUUAAGAAUGCCCAACAAAGACCUCGAGAUCACAUUUGGCUGCCUACACACCAACAACAUCAAGCUCAACCCCAAAAAGUGUGUCUUCGGUGUGCCCCGAGGUAUGCUUCUAGGAUACAUGGUCUCCUAGUGCGGCAUCGAGGCCAACACCGAGAAAGUCUCGGCCAUCCCCAAGACGGGGCCGAUUCGAGAUGUCAAAGGCGUACAAAAGGUGAUGGGUUGUCUGGCGGUGAUCAGUCGUUUCAUCUCGUGACUAGGCGAAAAGCGCUGCUGCUAUACCGACUCCUGAAAAAAGCCGAGCGCUUCACAUGGACCACCGAGGCUGAGGAUGCCAUCGACAAGCUCAAGAGGAUGUUGACCACCGCUCCAAUCCUGGUGCCCCCUCGACCCGUAGAAUCUCUGUUCCUCUAUGUUGCGGCAACGACCCAGGUCAUCAACGCAGCCUUAGUAAUUGAAAGGCCUGAAGAAGGACAUGCGCUUCCAGACCAGCGGCCGGUCUACUUUAUCAGCGAGGUGCUCUCGGACACAAAGGUACUAUACUGCCAGAUUCAGAAACUGAUCUAUGUGGUAAUUCACGCUCGAUGAAAGCUGCAGCACUACUUUCUCGGCCACCCGAUCACGGUGGUCUCGUCCUUCCCGCUGGGCGAGAUCAUCUAGAACCGAGAGGCCACUGGGAGGAUUGCCAAAUGGUCAGUCGAACUUAUGGGAGAGGCCCUCGCAUAUGCGCAUCGCAAAGCCAUCAAGUCUCAAGCACUGGCGGAUUUCAUAGCAAAAUGGACCGACACCCAGCUUCCCCAACACAGGUCUAGGCGGAGCUUUAGACGAUGUACUUCGAUGAAUCACUCAUGAAGAUGGGGGCUAGGGCUGGCUUGUUGUUCAUCUCACCUAUUGGCGUCCAUAUGAGGUAUGUGAUUCGAAUACAUUUUGCGGCAUCUAACAAUGUCGCAGAGUACGAGGCCCUCGUCAAUGGGUUAAGGAUCGCAAUUGAGCUUGGGGUCCGACGCCUCGACAUCCGAGGUGAUUCUUAGCUCGUCAUCGACCAAGUCCUGAAAGCUUCAAGCUGUCACUGUUGAUGGUCCUUAAGUACCAAAUAUAGUCAUCAAAUAAAUAAAGAAAAGGAUCCAAAUGCAACCAACACCCAGACUUAGGGUUUUAACUGACAGAAUUCCACGAGUUUUGGUGUUUGUCUAUUUCUGUAGGGGGUUAUCAGGAAAUAAGGAUGAAAGGCCCACAUGUCGUGAUUACAUAGAGAUAUCAACGCACCGCGCAAUUUUCUACCAUCUAGAAGACUCCAGAAGCCACGGGAAGAAAGCAGAGGCCGAAAGGGGCCAGGCCCAGGGCGCCCGCCCUCUUUCCCUGGGCGCCUGCCUUGUCCUGGACUCCGUUCGGGACUCUUUUCGCACACGAUGUUCCACCGACUUAAAGGAUCAAGGAUAAUGUAGUACCACAUUGCCUACCGACCCAAAAACGCAUAGAGGAGGAGGACUAUAUAAGGAGACCCCCCUGGCCCCUGGAGGAGACAAUAAGUUAUCAUUGAGAUCGAGGGGUGCCCUCGAAGGAAAACCUCUUCUCUAAAUAAUAUUUCUUUUUAGGCUUAGCAACCAAUGUAAGUAGAAAUAGAUCUUCUAGUUUCUACUAGAUUGAGAGAGAUAGAGUGGAGGUGUAGAUCGGAGGAAGGCCGGCCUGUCGGUGCCUACUCCGAGUUGUACCUGCGGGAUCAAGUCUCCUAACCCGAGGCCUGCUUCUAAGAUUCUUCAGUAAUUCGACUUCUAAUUCUAGUAAGUUCUUGCUUUAUUGUUCUUUGGUUUAUGAGUUUACUUUAAUCCUCUUCCGGUUGAGUAUUAGAGUAAUCAUUGCUAGUGUAAACAUGGUGUUUAGGCUAGGGUACUCAUAGAUAUCCCCUGACUAGCUGGACUGUGGUAGUAGCGAGGAACGUGACAUUUCCGAGUUACCUUUGUAUCCCAUAUCCGACUUAGGGUUUUAGAAGAAUCUCUACGACAUCGGAUCUAACGACAACAUAAUGGCCGCAGUCACUUAUCAGCUCCUGCAUGGAACCAUGCCCCUACAACCAAGAUAUAUUCAGCUCCAGAUGAUUUUCAGGUCAUUGACAUGGGAAAAGAUGAGUAUGAUCCACCCACCAUCCUCGGAAGACCGUUCCUGAACACUAUCAAAGUUAUCAUCUAUAUUGGAACUGGAGAAGUCCACGUGUACUUCUCCUCUGAGAAGGUACGCCGCUAUUUUGCUGACCUUAACUAUAUAGUUGAAGACUCUAAGCAGGUCAAGACAAGAAGAAGAUAACGCAACCGCAACCAGAGGAGGCAAAUCAUCAUAGACGAAUGGGCAAACUACGAAGGAGAAGUGGUAAGGUCUGAAGACAUACAACUUGAACAGAACUGUCCUGAGGAGACCGUAGCACCGAGUCAGAUGUGGAGAGAGAAGAUAGUUAUACACGAAGAGGAGGCACCGCCGGAACCACCGACUACGCCAUCCAACGAAUCCCAGGAUGACUGAGAAAACACAAGGAGUCUCGUUCGGAGGACUUAAAAACACCGAACGUCUUGCCAAGAGGUAAACUUGGUAGUUAUCUUUUUCCCUUCAAUUAUUCAAUUAUAGUUUGCUUAGUUAAUCAGGUUCAUGUUAUCUUGAAAAGAAAAUAAAAAUGUUAAAAAAUAGUAAGCCCCAUGUGAGUAUGCUCAUGGCAUACAACCCAUAAGUACAUUCACUGUGGUGGCAUAAAAAUAAAAUAAAUAAGUUUUCAUCUUACAAUAAAAAUAUAAAAAUAAUAAGUGCAUGAUCCUGCUAAAUAAGUAAUGUUUAUUGAGGAGGCUCAACAUGAUAAAGGCUAGAUAUUUAUGCUAACACUUAACCAGUUCCACAAAGCUUUGUUGUAUAUUUGAGCUCCACAGAAUUCAAGGAUCAAAGAAGACUAGCAGACGGAGGACAUCCUAAUCGCUGUCAGGGUGCUGCCGACAUUCAAAUACACCUCCACCACCUGCUAGCUACAUCAGAAGAAAUUACGUCAAAAUCCAGCUUGGGGGAGAGCACCCCCAUUUAUCCAGCUAAGUGUUUCUACUUGCGUCUAUACUUUACUCAAAAUAAUAAAAAGAUGCAUAAUCAUAAAAACCCAAAUAAAGAUUUUGUGCUUUUAUAUAUAUCUUUGCUUAGUUUGCUAAAUAAAUAAAUUUUUCUAUGAACCCUCAUGAUAAGCUCUCACAUGGAAAUGAUGAAUAGUUGCUCUGCCAUGACUAGUUCUUAAAAUUGAAAUCUCUCUCAAGUUUAGGCAUAACUGUUAUAAUUUAAACCUGCUCUAAACCUGAACUUGUGGGAAGAGUAGUUGAUCUAAAGUCUAAGUUGUUAACGGAUAUGAUAUGGGAAGGUUGAGCUGCUAUUUAUGUGUUCCUAGAGAUGCUAGAAUUCUGGAGAAUUUUAUCUUUGAAAAUCUUUAAAAUAACACAUGAUGAGUUCCUGUAUGAUGAGAGUUUAAAUUCCUACCACAGCCAUAUAUACAUGCUUGCUAGACUUUAAGCCACACAUUUACUUUUACUGCUUAUGAGCAUUGAGUGUGGUCAAGCUGCGUAGACCCUUAGGAGCUUGUCAUGUGGUUAAAAUCAAGAUUCACUUCCACGUUCACUCACACAUGCUGCUUCUACUCCGGAAGUACGCAUCCACAUACAUCCACUCAUUUCCAUCUCCAGAUUCACCCAAAAGUAUUCUAUUCCUAAUCCGAGAGAGAAUAGCCAAAAAUAUUUUCCUAUCCUUGUUAUUCCCUGUAAAAUAAAUGCUCAAGUUAUCUUGGUUACUACCACUUGCUAUAUUAUUUCAGGAGAUGAGUGCUCUAAAAAACAAAAAAAAGAGAAAAAAAAACAAGGAAAUAAAAAGGGGCAAGUGCCCGGAACCUCGAAAGAAAAGAAAAAGUGAGACGAGAGGUAAAAAUGGACAAGUGUCUGACAGUAGAAUUAGGGGUACAAGAUACCCACCUAAGAGGAAAAAAAAGAAAAUAUAGAGCAUCUCAUUCUCCCCAAAAAACUUCAAAGUGCAAGAAAGGUAUGUAUCACCUUAAAAGAGCAAAAAGUAGAAUUAGACUUUCACCAUUAUUAUCACCAUCAUCACCAUACACCAUUCAUUCGCCACACAUGCACAUCUUGAUUUGACUUAUUGACUUGUUUCUCUGGAUCCAUGGUUUGACUAUGCAAUAAAUGUCUUGUAAGUAUGUAUUAGCUGUCUCCCACCUAUGAGCUCCAGAUAUCAAAACCUUAUUAGAGUAGGGUGAGAGAGAAGGCAAUAUCACUAUGCAUUAUACCAAAAAUACCACAUACUUUGAGAGAAGGCAUAUACCAUUACUGCCUUGGUAUGGAUCCAGAAAUACCACAAAAGCGAGAGAAUCAUACAAGGAAUCUCUGAGUUUUAUUUGAAAAUCUGCAAAAACUUCAGAGCUAUAGCUGAUCAAGAAUAAGAGACAUGGCGCUUGACUUGAUCGUUGUAUCUUUUAACUGCUCAAGACACAAGUGACGGUUACAAGCCCCAUGGUGAAAGGUAAAAUGAGUAAGUUUUAAGUCUUAAUAGUUUAUUCUAACUCAGAGAUGAGAUCUUGCUUGAAUGCGUGUGUACUUUUAAGGCAUGAAACCACUGCAGAAACUCUUGAGUUCAUCCUUGCUCAGGGACGAGCAAGAGGUAAGCUUGGGGGAGUUGUUGAUGGUCCUUAAGUACCAAAUAUAAUCAUCAAAUAAAUAAAGAAAAGGAUCCAAAUGCAACCAACACCCAGACUUAUGGUUUUAACUGAUAGAAUUCCACGAGUUUUGGUGUUUGUCUAUUUCUGCAGGGGGUUAUCAGGAAAUAAGGAUGAAAGGCCCACAUGUCGGGAUUACAUAGAGAUAUCAACACAGCGUGCAAUUUUCUACCAUCUAAAAGACUCUAGAAGCCACGGGAAGAAAGCAGAGGCCGAAAGGGGCCAGGCCCAGGGCUCCCGCCCUGUCCUGGACUCCGUUCGGGACUCUUUUCACAGACGAUGUUCCACCGACUUAAAGGAUAAAGGAUAAUGUAGUACCACAUCGCCUACCAACCCAAAAACACAUAGAGGAGGAGGACUAUAUAAGGAGACCCCCCUGGCCCCUGGAGGAGACAAGAAGUUAUCAUUGAGAUCGAGGGGUGCCCUCGAAGGAAAACCUCUUCUCUAAAUAAUAGUUCUUUUUAGGCUUAGCAACCAAUGUAAGUAGAAAUAGAUCUUCUAGUUUCUACUAGAUUGAGAGAGAUAGAGUGGAGGUGUAGAUCGGAGGAAGGCCGGCCUGUCGGUGUCUACUCCGAGUUGUACCUGCGGGAUCAAGUCUCCUAACCCGAGGCUUGCUUCUAAGAUUCUUCAGUAAUUCGACUUCUAAUUCUAGUAAGUUCUUGCUUUAUUGUUCUUUGGUUUAUGAGUUUACUUUAAUCCUCUUCCGGUUGAGUAUUAGAGUAAUCAUUGCUAGCGUAAACGUGGUGUUUAGGCUAGGGUACUCAUAGAUAUCCCCUGACUAGCUGGACUGUGGUAGUAGCGAGGAACGUGACAUUUCCGAGUUACCUUUGUACCCCAUAUCUUGUUAGCAGGACGGGUAGGUUUAUAGGUGCGGGUCGAACAUCCUUUGUGGUGUCUAGAUUCCAUAAGCUUCCCCAAUAGAACAGUAGAUCAUCCUUAUCAAAGUUAGAACAAGACUACGGUUGCAUUUUCUCUAUACAUCGCUCACAUCGAGAAACAUUCUUUGUAGCCUAAAGGGGUAGUAGCAAUAGAUUUGGUUAGUCAGAUGCACCCUUUCUCCUAGUGGUAAAAAUAUAAAUACGAUAACUCUGGAUAACCUCCCGGGUGAAAUGCUCACCGAUAUCUGUGCGCUUGCGGAUCAAUUCCUUAUUGCGUUCCCAAAUAUCAACAGUCACGACCCAAAAAUGGAGGCCUAAUGCAAAGAAGUACGCAAGCUAGAGGACAAGUUCCAUGGCCUCGAGCACAACCACAUUGCCCGACGGUACGAUGAACCAGCUGACGAGCUUGCCAAUAUUGCAUCCACUCGAGGCAGUGUCGUACCAAACACAUUCUCGAGGGAUUUGCUCGAGCCAUCAGUCAAUCUCAACGCGGGGGCUGGCGUCGACGCACCGACACCAGAGCCCGUCGACACGGCCGAGGCUCUCCUAGCCACGGUAGAGGUGAUGGAGGUCAAGCAGUCCUCUCGAGAUCAAAGCUAGCCAUUCGAUUGGCGUACGCCUUUCCAUGAUUUCCUGUUCGAGGCGAGCUACCAGAAGAUUGGGCUGAGGCACGCCAUAUCGCUCGACGGGCCAAAUCAUAUGUGAUCUACGGUGAAGACAAAGAGCUGUACCGACGAAGCCCAGUGGGGAUCCUGUAGUGCUGCAUCACAGUAGAAGAGGGACGCAAGCUCCUCAAGGAUCUACACUCGGGGGCUUGUGGCCAACACGCGGCACCUAGAACCCUCAUUGGCAACGCCUUUUGAUAGGGCUUCUACUGGCCAACGACCGUCACCGACGCCAUCGAGCUUGUACGUUCAUGCCAUGGAUGUUAGUUUUAUGCCAAACAGACCCACCUCCCGGCUCACACCCUACAGAUCAUUCCCAUCACAUGGCCAUUCGUAGUAUGGGGCCUCGACCUCAUGGGUCCUCUCAAAAAGACGACGGAAGGAUACACCCAUCUGCUAGUGGCCAUCGAGGAUGUACUCAGCUAUAUUUACCCGUCUAACCACACAUAAAGACACCAAGGAUCAUGCAAGGCUGAGUAUAAAGUGGAGCUUGCUGGACUCAUAUUUUGCAAAAGAGCUUAAGUUGGAUGGUAAACCAUUUUUAUUAGGACCAUUUUGAUUAUCAUUAGCCUAUUACUAGAUUAGCAACUAGACUAAGCACUUCACUUGAUUAUUUAAUAAACAAUAAUAACCAUAUCAAAUUUCAACAUAUGUUCUUUCUUGCUAUCCUCAUCAUCAGCAUUAAAGAACCAUUAAGUACUUAGUGAAUGCUACGUUUGCCGGAGCUCUGUCAAGUUCUCACUAUCCGGGAGAGACGGUGAUUCGAAUCGAUUCCUAACCAGCUGGAGGGUUAUUCCUAGCACUCACCCAUGCAUCCCCGUCGGAGAGCAAGCGGGUCACCUUUGAUAUGACUCAGGAAUUGCAGCUUCGAUCAGCGCUGCACUCCUAGGGCUGCCACUCUGCCAAGAAGAUCAAGUCUUUUAAAUCACCUGCCCUUGGUCUUACGCCAAUGGCUCCCCGCACACCGCACUUCCUCUGGUAGUGCGCACUAUAUACUUGCCGGUCUUCCGGCCUGAGUCAUACUACUAGGCUUCACGGUCGGAACGAGUUAUCUAGCCAACUAAGUGUCAGGCAUGCGUUUAACAUGACAAGAUGACGUACAAUGAUUGGUCCUUAGCUGCUACAGAUGUAGUUACUACCACCUUGCAACACUCCGUCUGGCUUAAAUCAUUUUAACCAGGUUCCUUUCCACGAUAGUAAAUAUAGCCAACCGUGAUCCAACGAUAGACCCUAUUUCGCGCAGGUUAUAGGAUAUCACCCGACUUCCACCGAUUAUAGCAUGGCUAAGCUACUACUCGAUCUUGGCUCUAUACCAGGGUAAAGUGGGAUAUCUUGACAAGGAAAGGUAUAAUGCAGCAAGGGUUCCACAAUAACUCCUAUACGUAAUGCACCAAUAAACAUAACAUAUUCAAGCAUGCUUUGAAAUUAAAGUGGGAGACUUAAGAUGCUCCGGGGCUUGCCUUUCACGAACGAUGCUGGCUCGUGACUAGGGCUCCUCGGCUCCUGCUGGCUGGAGCUCGUCUCCUGAGUGACCUCCGGGCCUUCUGGAUUCACCCUCUCGAGCUCGAAGGAAGUUGCGGUCUCCGGUGUACAUAUUUCCUGUACGCAAUGAGUGAGGAAUGUAUGCAUACGAGGAAAUGGUGAAUGCUUGACGUGAUCAUGGUCACAACACUUCAGUAGACACUUAUUUACUGAGUAAACUUCUUUACAAGCUUACACAAGAGUCCCACCACAACUAACAAAGAUGUACUAACGUACACAAAUAAACAGCAACUACAAGCAGCAAAACUGUCCACAGAACAAUUCAUAACUGGAGAUAUAUAAAUCCAAUGGACAUGAGUUAAGACAUUCUGGAAAGCUUAUAAAAUUGUUCACAUUUCAUCUUUAGACACCUCAGCAAGAUUCACAAGUUAGACAAGCCAAUUAAACAAAGUUACAGGUUCUGUCCCAGAAAAACAAAGAGCAUCUAGUUCUGGAACUUCACUUAGAAAAGCUAUAACUUUUAAACUACUGGGCCAAUUAACACCAAUUUUUAAUUACAGUUAGAACACAAGAUUUACAACAACUUUGGUAUAGGCAAGUCUUCCAGAAAACGAAGCUAACACCAAACAAUAAUCAGGUUAAUUCUUUGCUGUCCAGACAGCUAUAUAUCCUUUAAUUAAUUAUUUGCCAACAUAGCAAAAGUAUAUUGGUUGUCAACCAAGUGACUCAUAAGAACAAACAUGAUAUAUGAUUACCAGAAAACCAUAUAUUAACUACCAAAUCCUUAAUUAUGAGGCCUUUAUUAAUUUAAUUCCAUAAAAGAGCACAAUUAAGAGAUACCAGAAAGAUUACUCAGAAAAAUCUACAAAAAUGACAGGAGCAAAAGCAAGGCACCUAGACCUCACUACAAAAGUUUUAGAGCAAUUGCACAUGCCAAACUUAAGAUAUCUAAUUAACAUGUGACAAGGCAUUUAUUACAUAAAUUAAGAAACAUAGGCUAAACAGUGUCAAACAACAUAUUUCUGAUUAUUUAUAUGAUACUACUACCAUAACCACACUUGACACCAAAGAACAGCACCAGCAUAAGCAUACAACAUUUACUAUGAUUUAAACAAGGAUUUAAGCAAUAACACCAACAUAAUUUACAUAUCAGAGAUACAUUACUUUAAAAAUCAUGAAAUAUUUACCAGAGCAUACUAGCACCACACAAAGCAUAGCAUAAAAAUUUCAUAGCAAUUUAAGCAGUACACCAAGAGAUACAAAUUUACUGGGAAAUAACAAGAUUAAUCCAUAACAAUUAUUCUUCACAGAAAACAUGGCACAUUUUUUAUUUUUAUUAAAAACUAGCCAUGUCAAGGAAUGCCACAAAAUUUGUUUCACAAUUUUUGGAGCUCAGAAACAGGAGAUAUGGUUUUUACAAGAUUGCACAGAAUCUGGAAUUUGAAUAAAAGAGAGGAAGGAAACGUUGAGUCACUGACAGCGGGACCCAUGCGUCAGUGUUGUCAUCGUCGCUCAAGGAAAGCUUCCACCAGCGAUUUCUCGCCCACGGUGAGGUUUCUAGCCAAACCAAAGACACCGGAGUGUUCCCUAGACCAAGGCGCGUCGAAUGGACCUACUUAACUCCCUGCGGAGCCACCAGAGUGGACUCGCCGUCGAUCAUGGGUGCUUGGCCAAGGUGCCCGAUGCUACGUCGGCGCCGGUAGCACGUGAAUUGAGGAUCCCUACAGCCACGGUGAGUUACGGUGGAACUUCCUAGGUGGAGAGCUCGGCCGUAGAGGGCCCAGGCGAGCCUGGCCACGUGCGGGUGAUGCUCUGGCUAAAGAACGGCGGAGCUGCUGGCGAACUUUGGUGGACAGCGAUGCAGCAUGGAGCGUGCUCGAGCUCGCUGGAGUGAGCUCGACAAUGGUGACUCCACUGCCACCGCGUUUUUUGCGAUAGAGAGGAGGAAUUGUGGGAAUAAGCGUGUCCAGGAGCUCGAGGUCGUCGCCGUGGAGGUCAUGCACGACCUCAGUGCUGAUGAGCGGGGCCAAGAGCGGCGUAUGGGCGCCAAAUGGCGAACAGGUGCUGCCGCCGAUCGGCCACGUCGGCGACUGAAGAUUUCCAUCAGAGCUCGAUUUAGUGACUGACAGAGCGACUUUGACAACGAUUAACUCCCAAACCGUGGCGAAUUAGGAGAUGGUGUAGUUGAAAAAUUUAGAGUACUAGCUGAGUUCAACAACUUUGUCAACUGGAGCAAGAGAUAAAUCAGCCUGGAUGAAAAGAUACAGAGCUUCCAAAAUCCUUCAAGCAAACUGCGCACGCUAGAAAGACUUAGAAAAAAUUCCAAGUGUUGAAACGGCCCCCAAAUCUGCCUUGUGAGCCAUGUUUGAGCAAGUUGUGAUCAUUUUCAUGAGAUGGCCAUAAAACAGCUUUUGUUCCUUAUAAAAUUUGCUACAACUUUGAUAUAGAAAGUUUUGACAUGUAAACAAUCUAUGAAGCACAUUUUAAAAGCCUAAGCAAAAGAGGUUUAUAAGCCCCCACGUGAAACUAUGACUUAGGAGCAUAAUUAGAGGAUAUGAUCAACAUGAACAUUGCUCCUAAGGAUUAGUUAAGCAAAGUUAAACACUUAACAAGCUCUAGAAUACAUACAAGAGCAUGACAUACUCAAACACAAGCAUAGGAAGCACAAAUAAACAAUUUAAGCAACAUAUACACAUAAAAUGACAUGUCCCAAGACAUGUGAUGAUCAUGGUAUGCUUAUGUAGAUGAUUAUGCUCAUGUCAUGCAUGUGCAUGAGAGGAUGCAACCAUAACACUAGGGUGUUAUAGCCCUCCCCCCUUACAAAAAUCUUGUCCCGAGAUUUGAAAGCUUACUAAUUUUUGAAGAAGGUUUUAUAAACUUCCUUUAAAAAGUCCUCUGUUUCCCAAGUAACAUCUUCCGCCCUGUGGUUACUCCACCAAACCUUGUAGAACUUAACCACAUGAUUACGAGUUACCCGUUCCUUAUGGUCAAUGACCACCACAGGCUUCUCUUUAUACACCAAGUCCGAUUCCAACAUGAUAUCCCGCACCUCCACUCUUUCUUCCGGAACCCGAAGGCAUUUCUUUAACUAAGAUAUGUGAAAGACAGGAAGAAUAGCUCGUAGCUCCACUAGAAGUUGAACCUUGUAGGCUACUUUCCCUUUCCUCUCAAGGAUCCGAUAAGGUCCCACAUAACAGGGUGCAAGCUUUCGCUUGAUUUCGAACCUUUGUACACCCUUCAUCGGAGACACCCUGAGAUAUACGUGAUCCCCGACUGCGAAGUCAAUCGGUUUUCUUCUCCAAUCGGCAUAACGCAUUUGACGAGCUUGAGCAGCUUCCAGAUGUUGCUGGAUUGUAUGGACUUGCUGCUCAGCUUCGUUCACAAAAUUGAUGUCGUAAUACCUUCGUUCCCCAGGUUCCACCCAAUUCAGCAGAGUUCGACACUUUCGGCCAUAUAGGGCUUCAAAAGGAGUCAUCUUAAUCCUCUCUUGGUAACUAUUGUUGUAAGAGAUCUCAGCUAACAGUAACCACUUCACCCAAGAUCCUUUUGAAGAUAAAGCACAUGCCCUCAACAUAUCUUCUAGGAUUUGGUUAACACGUUUAGUUUGGCCAGCAGUUUGUGGAUGAUAAGUAGAACAUCAAAUGAAUUGAGUACCAAUUUGCUCGUGAAGACACUCCCAGAAACAAGUAGUGAACUGCAGCCCAUGAAAUGAUAUGAUAGUGCGAGGAACACCAUACUGACGGACAAUGUGCUCAAAGUACAACUCCGCAUACUGAUGCGGACGAUACUCAGUUCGUAUUGGAAUAAAACGAGCGACCUUGGUCAAAUGAUCACAAUCACCUAGAUAGAGUCGUAACCCUUGAUAGAAGUUGGGAAUCCUAAGAUAAAGUCCAUACUUACUUCUACCCAUUUCCAACUAGGGAUUGGCAAGGGUUGAAGUAAACCUGCUUUCAUGUGAACUGCCUUCACACGACAACAUUUAUCGUAACGAGCAACAAAAGCAGCAAUCUCCUCUUUCAUCUUUGUCCACCAGAACAGAGGUUUAAGAUCAUGAUACAUCUUACUACUACCAGGAUGAACAGAUAGCUUGGACGAAUGAGCUUCAGAUCUAAUUUUGAAGCUCACGAUUCUUUGGUGCAACAAGCCAAUCUUUGAACCAUAGAAUUCCGUUCUCAUCGACCUAGAAAUGCUUGGUUUCUUCUUCUUUCAUCUUCCCCUUUAUAUGGUGCAUGCCUACAUCAGUUUGUUGCAACUCAAUUACUCGAUUAUGAAGAGAGCUUUCUAAGGCAAUUUGAUGAAGCACUAGUGGAUGCAUAAGACAUGACAAGGGCAAAUCUUCAAUCUAAACUGAAUUACAGUGCGAUUUCUAGCUCAAGGCAUCCACAACCAUGUUUCCUUUGCCCGAAUGGUAGUGCACUUGAAGAUUAUAAUCUUUAAUCAACUCAAGCCACCUUCGCUGUGGAAUGUUCAAUUCAGGUUGGGUGAAGAUGUACUUGAGACUCUUAUGAUCGGUGUAAAUAUUGCACCGAUUUCCCAGCAAAUAGUGCCUCCAGAUUUACAAAGCAUAGGCAACUACGGCCAAUUCUAAACCAUGUGUAGGGCAAUUGACCUCAUGUUUUUGAAGUUGGCAUGAAGCAUAAGCGAUAAUGCAACCUUCUUGCAUAAGCACACAGCCCAGACCAAUAUCAGAUGCAUCACAAAAGACAUCAAAAGGCUUCUCAAUAUUGGGUUGAGCCAAUACAGGAGCUGAUGUUAGCAAGGUCCUCAGCUUGUGGAAUGCUUCCUCACAUUCUGGCGUCCACACGAAUUUCUCAUCUUUCUGAAGUAAGCGAGUCAUAGGCUUGGAUAUUUUUGAGAACUUCAGAAUGAAACGAUGAUAAUAUCCAGCUAAACCCAAAAAACUCCAAACUUCGUGCACUGAAGUUGGGACCUUCCAAUCCAGCACUUCUUGCACUUUGGCUGGAUCAACUGAUAUCCCUUCUUUAGACAAGACAUGGCCCAAAAAAGGUACUUUCUUUAGCUAGAACUCGCAUUUGCUAAACUUAGCAUAAAGCUGAUGCUCACACAAACGAGUUAACACUACACGCAGGUGCUUGUUGACGGUCCUUAAGUACUAAAUAUAACCAUCAAAUAAAUAAAGAAAAGGAUCCGAAUACAACCAACACCUAAACUUAGGGUUUUAUCUAACAGAAUUCCACGAGUUUUGGUGUUUGUCUAUUUCUGCAGGGGGUUAUCAGGAAAUAUGGAGGAAAGGCCCACAUGUCGGGUUUACAUAGAGAUAUGAACAUACCGCGCAAUUUUCUAUAUUCUAGAAGACUCGGGGCAGGGCGCCCGCCCUGCCCCCUUGGGCGCCCGCCCUGUCGCAGUGUCCAAUCAGGACUCGCUUCAGGGAUUAUGCUCCACCGACCUAAAGGAUCAAGAAUAACCGUUCAAUCAAUGUCGGUUUGAUCCGACGACCCAGAUUCACUUGAGGGGACUAUAUAAGCAGACCCCCUGGCCCCUGGAGGAGGCACCCCUUGAUCAUUAUUCAUUAUUCAUAGACAGAGCAAAAGCUAGGGUUUGGAGAUGAGAGCUCUCUUCUCAUCUCUAAACUAGAGUAGAUCUAGAUAGUAGCGAGAUGGAGAGCGAAGGAGGAUUAGAGGAGAGGCCGGCCUGUCGGUUCUUCCUCCGAUUGUACUUCGCCAUGAUCAAGCUCUAAUCAAGCUUGCUCAUGGGAUGACUCUGGUAAUCUACUUCUAAUUCAUUAUGCAAUUACUAAUCAUGUAUGUUAUGGUUCACAACUCUUUUGAGUACUUCUAAUCUAUAGGACCCUAUAGGUUAGAGUUUUAGUAUAGGUGUAAGCGUGGUGCUUAGACCUAGAUUACUUGUGAUCGUGUGGUAGGCCGCGUAGGUGACAGUUACGUUGGUCCCCUGUAGUCCACCUCUUGUUAGCAGGACGGGUAGGGUUUAUCGGCCUAUGGAUAAGCAUCCUUUGUGGUGUAUUCUUAUCACGUGGUUCAUCCCAGACAUAGACAUAUCCCUUUGAAGUAGAGAAACCAUAGUUACCCUCUCUAUUCUGCUAUCAUCGCCCGUAUACUAGAUUGCUCAAUUCUCUAUUCCCCUACUAUUACCCAUUGUUAUCUUAUCUUUAAUAUUGUUCUUAUUCAAUUAUACCAUCUUUCCUAUUUACACUUAUCUAUCUAUCUUGGUUAAGUUAGAGCGUAGUUGGUUCUCCUGUUUUCCUGUGGAUACGAUAAAACCUUUAACCGGGUAAAAGCUACAACGGUAUCCGUGCGCUUGCGGAUUUAUCUGUGUGUGUAUAAAUACCAUAGUACACUGUAGUGCCAUGCAGGCCUAGUAUUCAAGUGGUGUUAGCAAGUGUCAACGAGCAUUUUUUGCGACGUUGCCGGGGAAACGGUUGCUGAGUUGACUACAAACUAGCUUAAUCAUUUUCUAAAAAAUAAAAUUAAAAAUUAAAAAUAUACUUUUCCUUUUAUCUUUUGCCUUAUCUCUGCUAUUCUUUCUUCUUAUCUAAUACUUGAUCUCUGGUCUAUCAUGAAUUCAAACAUGUAUAUCUAUGAAUUUAAUAGACCUAUGGGCACACAUCUCGAACCACCAAAAUCUUCAAAGCCUAUCAUAACAUCUAGUUUUGAGAGAAGCCCAGAAUACAUAGAAUUUCUUCAAAAACAACCUUUCUCACGAGAAGGUGAGGAAAACCCAUACACACACCUAAGAGAGUUUUAUCGAGUCUGUGACCUCCUUCGCAUAGAAGGCAUGUCCGAUGAGACCCUUAAAUGGAAGCUCCUUCCGUUCUCUUUAACGGGAAAAGCUAGACAUUGGUACAAACUCAAAGUACGGAGUGUUCAUGGAGAUUGGAAGGAGUUACAUAAUAGUUUUCUUUUAAAAUAUUUUCCAAUCUCCAAAGUGGUGGAACUUCGGCGUGAGAUUCUUUCUUUUAGACAACUGGAAGAAGAAUCUCUUGGCAAAUCAUGGGACCGCUUUAUUAACCUUACUCUCACUAGCCCAAAGCUUUCUAUUCCAGAACAAGUUCUUCUAUUUCACUUUUUUAAGGGCCUUAGUAGGAAAAAUAAGCAAACCCUUCAUGCGGCCUCUAGAGGAUCUUUCCACCACCUGUCUGCUAGUGAUGCUUGGAAUUUGAUUGAUUUAAUGAGCGGAAAGUCUCCUAGCUUUUAUAUCCCUGAGAAAGAGAAAGAACUAAUUCCUAGACAAUAAGAAGAAGUUUCAAUAGCCAGAUCACAACCACUUCAAUUCCAAAAUUUAGCUAUCGAUCCUAAACCAUCAAUACCCCAAAAUUCUUCAAGGGAGGAAGGAAUUCCGACCUUAAAUCUUUCAGAUACUGAUGGUUUAGACUUUUGGUUCCAUAAGAAACCUUCAAGCUGGGAUAAUCCAAGUCCUUGCAAUAAUGGUUCUCUUAGAGAAUGUCGUGGUUCCUGUUAUGAAGAAGUCGAGGAUGACAUAUCAAGUGAAGGAGAGCUAAGCCAUAUAGAAAAUUCUAACAUCUCCCCUUUCCUGAUCACAAGUUCUAAAUGGCUAGAAUGUGUAGAAUGGAUGGAUAAGGAAGAAGCCUUAAUGGAUUCUGACUUUGGCUCAAUUUCAAAUGGUGAGUUCUUGACUCCCUUUGAAGAUGGGAUUCAUCCAACUAUAGAAGAGGACAUAAGUGAGACCAAUCCAGGAGAAACUCCGAACAUUCAGAUUGGAGACGAAGAUAACAUUAAUGAGCAUGGAAUUUAUUUCAUAGCCACUUUGUUUACUCCGUGCUCAUAUGCAACAUCUUCCCAAUCUAUUGGUCUCUCCGACAUCACCACACUUGAGAUCUCCAACCCCCUCUUCCUUUCUAUUUAUAAAAACUUUAAAAGGGCGAUUGUCGAUGCAUAUGUCUAUAAUAAAUAUUGCAGAUCUCGUCGAGUUGAUCUUGAUAUAGAUCAGCGUUGGAAGGGAAACCACUUUGCCGACAUAAAUUGAUGGUUUCCCAAGGACAAGCUUAGUGUCCUAAAAUAAGCACUGAUCAGAUUGUAACAUGAGCUUUUAAUUAUUUGCUACAUUACCUUGUGUAUUGAGCAUAUAGGGAUAAUUAUAAAAAUAUUCCUUCAGGUAUUCUUGUCACUAACCUUUCCAGGAUUGGAGCAAGAAGAUCGGAUGAAUGACAAGCACAAGGUAUGUCCAACCGAUCAUCAUACAACAUUGAAUUAAAUUCAUCCAAACAUGAAUUUUGCAAAAUUCAAGCUUGGGGGAGUACCUUACAUCCUUUGUCUUGUUGCUAUGUUGGUUGUCCCUACCUUCGAGACAUGCUUAAUUUGUUAAGUACUAAUCACACUACCUCAUCUCCACUUGAGUAGAUCUCUAUAAAUGCUGUCAUGCUACCUUUGUCUAUUUACUAGCAAUUGUUGGUUUGGAAGUACUCGACAUACUUCCAUUGGCAUUUAAAUUAAGCAUGGUGCUUAGGUUAAAUAGCCUUCCUUAAUCUGAUUAGACAUGGAGUCUAGUUUGGUUACUGAACUAAAAACUGCUUGAGUAGAUAUUGGUAUAUUUUGUCGGACUAACCCCUGCAGGAAAAAUUUUAAUAUCAACCUGAGAAGUCCUGAGAUAAACUCACAUUAGAGAAAAGGAGAGAGACACAUGAAGUUUAACAAUUUACACAAGGAAGACAUAGCUCAUAAGAGAUGAUCCAUGGAGGGUGCCACAAACACGAUGCAUAAUCACUAAGAAAGGGAAGCUUCCACAAGGUGAGAUGGUACCAUCACUCUUCAAUUAAGGUAACAUCUUAAGAUAUGUGACUAUCACUUUUAUAAGCUUCUCCUUGGUUCUAGUGUUCAGAUAAAUAAAAAGACAAACAUGAAUGAUUUAUAACUCCAAAUUAACCAACCCAACUGAUUCAGCUUGUUUAGUCCUUAAUCUUUGUUCCUAGUACUACCUCCAUGAUCCCACACUCCUAAUCAUAUGAGCUAAAAUGUUACACAUUCAAUCUAUGAGAGAUAUAAAGAAAAAGACAUAUACAUAGAUAGAUUAUCUCUCCAUAAGGUUGAGCGAUCUGAUCUGAAAAAUGUUAUAAGUGCUACACUCAUGAACUUAUCAUUCAUCUUUGUCUUGCUCACUAUGCUUAAGGAUAGAGAAGAACAAAUACACUUUUGGUUCUGUUGGUGUUUUCCACCAACAGGACCCAUGCACUUGAUCUCUGCCUUGUCUCUAUGAGCAGGUACACUUGGAGCAAAACAUGGUGGAGUUUUACAACUCUCAGACUCUACCAAGUGAAGGACCUGGAUCUACGAGAACAAACACACUAAGCAGGAUACUGCAAACACCGCACUUUGAACUACUGUGCAAACGAAGAACAUGGGUGACACCUCUUGGGUAUUUUAAACGCAAACAGAAAAAUCAGCAAGCGCACGGAUACCGAUGUUGCUUUCACCCGGGAGUAUUCCAGAGUAUCGAUUUUCCACAGAGAACGUGAGUGUACUAAUUAAGAUCCAAGAUCGCCCAAGGAUAACUAUAUGAUUAUUUUUGGUGGGAAGAGAGGAAGUUUCCUGAGAGUUCUAUAGUGGAUCUAAGAAUCAAGAAUUACUUCAAGAUUAUUUAUAUCGGGACAUCAGAGCACUAACCACAGAAAGAGAUGAGAAGGGGGCUAGGAAGGUCUGACUACGGUCCUACAAACACCGAUCCGAACGUGGUGGAAUACGUCGACCGUUAGGGCUGUCACUACCCUAAGGCUACCACAACAAUCCGCAGGAUUGGGUGCAAUUCCAGGUAAUCGCAAGACUAAACACCACGUCUAAUCUAUUAAUUACUACUCUAGCGUUAUAAAGACUAAAGCACUUGAUGCAAGCGGGAAUCCAAUAAAUAACUUGAAUGUAAAUAAAAGUAAUUAAAGAACUCAGGAAUUAUGAAUUGAAGAACCUGGAGAACGAUGAAGAACGAACCAGUUGCUGCAAAAGUACAAUGUUGAGGAAGAUCCGAUAGAUCCGGCUCCUCCUCCGCUCUCCUCUUCUCUCUCCCUAUUUUCUAGAUUACAACUAGAACUAACUAGAACUAGAACUAGAGGAACUAGAAUUAGAACUAGAUGAACUAGAACUAGAUCUAGAUGAACUAGAGGUACAGCUAGAAGAACUAGAGGGAUCCUCUCUACUUGGAUGAAGAAUUGAAACCCUAGCUUUGAUUCUGUAGAAGAGGUAUGAUCUCCAGGGGCCAGGAGGGUGUGGUUUUAUAGUCCCUUCAAGUGAAUCUGGGCCGUCGGAUCAAACCGACAUUGAUCGUGUGGUUUUCCUUGAAGUAUUAGGUCGGUGGAGUGUUGUCCCCGAAUUGGACUCUGUUUGGUCCAGUGGGGAGGGCGGGCGCCCUGUAAGGGAGGGCGGGCGCCCAGUGCCCGGCUCCGUUACGUCUCCCGUUCGUUCCCGUGGCUUCCGGAGUCUUCUAGAUGGUAGAAAAUUGCGCGGCACGUUAAUAUCUCUAUGUAAACCCAACGUGUGGGCCUUUCUUCCUUAUUUCCUGAUAACCCCCUGCAGAAAUAGACAAACACCAAAUCUCGUGGAAUUCUGUCAGAUAAAACCCUAAGUCUAGGUGUUGGUUCCAUUUAGAUCCUUUUCCAUGAUUAGUUGAUGGUUAAAUGUGAGCAUUAAGGACCGUCAACAAGCUUCCCCAAGCUUAACCUUUGCUCGUCCCUGAGCAAAGAUGGACUCAAGAGUUUCUGCAGUGGUUUCAUAACUUAAAGAUACACAUGCGUUUAAACAAGAUCUCAUCUCUGGUUAGAGUAAAUUGUUAAGACUUAAAACUUACUCAUUUACCUUUCACCAUGGGACUUGUAACCUUCACUUCUGUCUUGAGUAGUUAAAAGAUAGAACAGUUUAGUCAAGUACCAUGUCUCUUGUUCUUCGAUUAACUAUAGCUCUGGAGUUUUUGCAGAUUUUCAAAUAAAACUCAGAGAUUCCUUGUAUGACUCUCUCUAGUCUCUCUUUUGUGGUAUUUCUGGAUCGUUACCAAGGCAAUACUGGUAUAUGACUUCUCUCAAAGUAUGUGGUAUUUGUGGUAUAAGGCAUAGUGGCAUUGCCUUCUCUCUCACCCUACUCUUAUAAGGUUUUGAUAUCUGGAGCUCAUAGGUGGGAGACAGCUAAUACAUACUUACAAGACAUUUAUUGCAUAGUCAAACCAUGGAUCCAGAAGAACAAGUCAAUAAGUCAAAUCAAGAUGUGCAUGUGUGCCGAAUGAAUGGUGCAUGGUAAUGAUGGUGAUAACAAUGGUGAAAGUCUAAUUCCACUUGUGCUCUUUUGAGGGGAUACAUACAUUUCUUGCUCUUUUGAAACUUUUUGAGGAGAAUGAGAUGCUCUAUAUAUAUUUUUUUCUUUUUCUUCUCUCAGGUGGGUAUCUUGUACCCCUAAUUCUACUGUCGGACACUUGUCCAUUUUUACCUCUCGUCUCACUUUUUUUUCUUUCGAGGUUCCGGGCACUUGCCCCUUUUUAUUUCCUCGUAUUUUUUUCUCUUUUUUUUUCUUCUUUUUUUUCUUUUUUUUAGAGCACUCAUCUCCUGAAAUAAUAUAGCAAGUGGUAGUAACCAAGAUAACUUGAGCAUUUAUUUCACAGGGGAAAACAGAAAUGUUUUUGCCUAUUCUCUCCUGGAUUAGGAGUAGAAUAUUUUUGGGUGGUUCUGGGGAUGGAAAUGGGUGGAUAUAUGUGGAUGGUACUUCCGGAGUAGAAGUAGCAUGUGUGAGUGAACGUGCAAGUGAAUCUUGAUUUAACCACAUGACAAGCUUCUAAGGGUCUACACAGCUUGACCACACUCAAUGCUCAUAAGCAGUAAAAAGUAAAUGUGUGGCUCAAAGUCUAGCAAGCAUGUAUAUAUGGCUGUGGUAGGAAUUUAAACUCUCAUCAUACAGGAACUCAUCAUGUGAUAUUUUAAAGAUUUUCAAAGAUAAAAUUCUCCAGAAUUCUAGCAUCUCUAGGAACAGAUAAACAGCAGCUCAACCUUCCCAUAUCGUAUCCGUUAACUACUUAGACUUUAGAUCAAGUACUCUCCCCACAAGUUCAGGUUUAGAGCAUAUCUUAAUUAAUACCAGUCAUGCCUAAACUUAAGAGAGAUUUCAAUUUUGAGAACUAGUCAUGGCAGAGCAACUAUUCAUCAUUUCCAUGUGAGAGCUUAUCAUGAGGGUUCAUAGCAAACUUUAUUUAUUUAUUUAUUUAUUUAUUUAUCAAACUAAGCAAAGAUAUAUAUAAGCACAAAAUCUUUAUUUGGGUUUUUAUGAUCAUGCAACUUUUUAUUAUUUGAGUAAAAUAUAAACGUGAGUAGAACACUUAGCUGGAUAAAUGGGGGUGCUCUCCCCCACGCUGGAUUUUGACGUAAUUUCUUCUGAUGUAGCUAGCAGCUGGCGGAGGUGUAUUUGAAUGUCGGCAGCACUCUGUUAGCGAUUAGGAUGUUCUCCAUCUGCUAGUCUUCUUUGAUCCUUGAAUUCUGUGGAGCUCAAAUAGACAACAAAGCUUUGUGGAACUAGUUAAGUGUUAGCAUGAAUAUCUAGCCUUUAUCAUGUCGAGCCUCCUCAAUAAAUAUUACUCUCUUUAGUAGCAUCAUAAAUUUAUUUUUAUAAUUUUAUUUUUUAUACGACAGGAAUAUAUUUAUUUCAUUUUUUAUGCCACCACAGUGAAUGUACUUAUGGGUUUUAUGCCAUGAGCAUACUCACAUGGGGCUUACUAUUUUAAACAUUUUUAUUUUCUUUUCAAGAUGAUAUGAACCUAAUUAACUAAGUAAACUAUUUUAAAUAAUUGAAAGGAAAAAGAUAACUACCAAGUUUACCUCUUGGCAAGGCGUUCGGUGUUUUUAAGUCCUCCGAACGGGACUCUCCAUUUUCUCACUCGUCCUGGGAUUCGCUGGAUGGCGUAGUCGGUGGUUCCGAUGGCGCCACUUCUCCUUCGUAGUCUGCCCAUCCAUCCUUGAUGAUUUGCCUCCUCUGGUUGCGAUUGCAUCAUCUCCUUCUUGUCCUGACCUGCUUAAAGUCUUCAACUAUAUAGUUAGGGUUAGUAAAAUAGCGGCGUACCUUCUCACAGGGGAAGUUCAUGUGGACUUCUCGGGUUUCAAUGUAGAUGAUUGCUUUAAUGAUGCUGAGGAACGAUCUUCUAAGGAUAUUGGGUGGAUCGUACUCAUCUUCUCCCAUGUCAAUAACCUUAAAACCUGUAGACAAAAUGAUCGUCUAUUUUGACAGGGACAUCCGUUAUUAUACCUUCAACCUUUCGGAAUGUCUGAUCUGCCAUCUGGAGCUGAAUGUAUGUCGGUUUUAGGGGCAUGGUUCCGAAUAGGAGCUGAUAGGUGACUGGGUCGUCCUUUUUGAUCAGGAACGGUGACUUAAGUCGACGAUCUUGACCUCCUUGAACUGUAGUGACCAUCUUAGCUGACUUGGUCCACAUUUGCUUGUUCCUGUUCCUCAUGUUGGUCCUCUUCCUUGGUUCAUGUCGAGAAUGCUCUGAGAUUUGUGUAGUCUUGUUCUUGAAGGAAAACGUCUCCUUCCUUCCCUUGAUGUAAAAACUGAUCUUGGCAGCACUAGCGUAGAUGACAGCUCCCAAAGUGUUUAGGAAUGGCCUCCCUCGGAUGAUGGGUGCCCUCUCAUC